Molecule: long non-coding RNA, 52631 nt
Filed under: Triticum aestivum (bread wheat)
Lineage: Eukaryota; Viridiplantae; Streptophyta; Magnoliopsida; Poales; Poaceae
Description: long non-coding RNA (TAES_LNC001047)
Rfam family: MIR1120/MIR1122 microRNA precursor family (bases 12459-12593)
Source: RNAcentral
GACAGAAGACAAUACUGCAUGCCCUUCUUGCUCCAUUGAUCUCAUAGAACUACAGAAGUGUAUAUAUGCUUUUUUGUAAAAUAGAUAAUUCAGGUUGCCAAUACACAAUAAUUUAGAGUGAACUGGGAAGUUAAAUUACUUGAUACAACAAAGUGGAAAAGCUUAUCUUCGUUCCUUGAUCUUAGGGAUUGGGAACUUCUCCACUUAGGAAGGAAUUUGGCAAUGGUUGGUCAUGCUGCUCUAAUUACCUGGCACAAAAUAAUGCAAGUACAAAAAUCUGACACGGAUCAGAAUGAAAAUAAACAAUCUAAUAGAAAAUUUGGUAACAACCUGGGGGAUAGAGCUCAGUAAUUUCAGCAAGGCUAAAUCCACAUCGGCAGUGGCACAGGCACGCCCAGGAACGAGUGGCUUGCCUAGAAAUCCUCCACGCCUGUAAUUCCCAGGCCUACCCAUGGCGGUCCUGUCGCUAGUAGCCUCCAUUUGCAGCACGGAAGAAAGAGACUCUCGUUGGAAGUUUAGGACCUGAGUCAGGCACAAACGGGAAUCAACCCCAGCAGCCACAAAGGGAAAAACUGAAGGAACUUACUGUAGAAAACAAACUUGGCCAUGGCAGCAAUCCCUGCUAUUGUCUCUCUGAUGGCCUACACGCCAGAUCUAGAGGGAGAAAUACCCUAUCCAAGGGGAGGCAAGAGGGAUCCUCGCCAAAAUCGACUUCAAUGGUCGCCGGGAAAGAUAGAGGGGAGAGGCUCACUGCAAGGAAUUCGGGAGGGGAUUCUCGAAGGCUCGUUAUCUUCCCCGAGAGAAGGAGAAUCUCCACGUGUUCUGUUUCAGGGACAAUCGGGCACAAUGAGUCAUCUCAGCCUCACAUUUCAGAUCCGACGGUGUAGAUGAGAUGAAGGCAGGCACGUCAUCACCACCAACUCGCUUUUUAUAGGAGUAGAGAUUUAUAUAUAGCUCAUGGAAACUUCUUACGCAAUUUAUUGUAGUCUUUUUUUGGUUGGCCAGGGCCAAUUUCGCAUAUUUCUGUGGGUUCCAAACUAUUUUUAAUACCGAAAUGUCCAGUCAGAUUUAAAGUACUUUGAAGAUAUAUUUAAAUUAGGUUAAUGCCCAGUGAAAUAGGAAUCUGAAAAUGUGAUAAAAUUCAGAAAUUAUAAAGUAAUUGCCAAUUUGUCAUCUAUUUUUAUAUUUACAACCCAUUUCAUAUUAGUUUCAAGAUUUGCAGGCGUCAAGAUCUUCAGAAAAAAUAAACCGGUCUCAUUUUCACAAAGAAAAAAUAGCUGGGCUGGUCAUAUGGUGAACAUAAAAUAUAAGCCUGGGCUAGACGGGCCACAGCCCAGUUCAAACCCUGCUCCGUAUCAACAAUACCAAACAAAAAAAAUACUGCUCGAGUAGCUACGUCCCAGGUGUCAGCCGAUCUUGUGCUGUUCUCUUGUCUAUUGACUAUAUACGCUCACAAUGUCGUGCGUCCCAGAUGUCAGGAAAACACUAGGAGGAAGCAUUUUAUUUUUCCAUACGCUGACGUGGUGGGCCCCUACUGUCAUCCUCUCCACCUACUUCUGCCGAUUCCUGUUGUUUGUUGACCAUGUUGACAACGCGAGAGGGCGGCACCGCGGCGAGCGCACCAAAGCGCGCGGAGGACGUCGGCGUUAAUGAUUUAGGAGACGGUGGGGCGGCGAUGCGUGCGCUGAGGCGCAGCCAGCCGUGGGAGGCGGAAGCAGACGGCCCCGCCGGUGCUGGUUUGGUUUUGGCGGCUGGAUGAAGACAGGACUGAAGAAACACGAUAGACUGUAAAAGCAGCAGGAGUACUUAACAACCUUAACUGAAACCAGCAGGGGCACUUAACAACCAAAGCUGAAAGCAGUAUGAGUACUUAUACAAGUUCAACCGUACAAAGCACGCCUCGAACAGUGCUACUUUGCCUACAGUUAACCAACGAUGAGGCCGCCAAGCCCCGGGACAAGGCCCAGGCGCCACCCCGCUCAUCCACAACCUUCUGAAAGCGGCUUCAUCUCACAACAUGGUCAAUAAACAGGAUAUUCGCUUUAGAGCCAUGGAAAAGCAUGAACAUAAUCUUCUGUCCUAUUCUCCAAGAUGGACGGGCCUUCAUUAUUUGAGACCACCCAUGAAUAAGUAUCUUUUCACCUCCAAGAGGAAUUGAGUAGGUUGACAUAAACAUCAUGUUGUGACCAAGCGCAAGUCUGACCCGACCAUGGUCAGGCAUCUGUAUAGGAACAAUAGAACUCGGCAGUUCCUGUUUCAAGAAGAUCACAACUGUAAAACUGUGUAUAAGCAAUAGUUUAUGAACAACAUAUAUAAUAGAAAACAGCUUGUACCAUAAGUUUCUCGACACAGUUGGACCUGUUCAACGAGUGCAGUAGUGGAACACAUAUCCCACGUGGCCUUCCACCAUUGAGACGCCCCACAAGGACCUCAAGACGAUUAAUAAAGUGUAGGAACUUGUGGAUGUCGACCCAGUCAACUUAAGUGCCAUUAGUAACAGUGGAGUUAUUACAGAGUAACAAACAAGCAGACUGCUUAACUCUGAAAAAACCUACACGUGCCACCAAUUAUAAGAAAAUAUUAGUUAGAAGUAGCAUCUUCAUGAGAGAUUCGUUGCUAUUUCUAAAUUUAAAUUGUGAUUAGUUAGACAGAAUAGGUGGAUUAAGAAGUAAUCGAGGCAACAAGCAAGAACCAGAUACAAAACUAACAUGGAUGAACAAUUGGAACGACGUCGGGGUGGAAGAUCGCAGUGAAGAUGAGACCAGGUUCUGCUAUUUCCAUCAACAUUCGUGCGCCAACUUUCAGGCUGUAACACUUGAGAAAGUUUAUCCAAGUUCGGCCAUAAAAAAAGCAGCGAUCUUAUUGGUUCAUGAACCCAACUCGGAACUUAUAUCCAUGGCUUGUCUUCACUGUGACCAUUAAACUAGUGUAUUCAGUUAUGGCAAGGCUGAGCAUCUUGAGUACAUGUGUUCUGGCAGAGCAAAUAAUACACUGCAGGAAAAAUAAUAUGAGAACACAUCAUGUUCAAAAAAACCCCACCCUCCUGAAUAGAAAAGAGGAUUCUAGAAACAUACUGUGCGCAUUUCAAAAUGCUGUGUUAGGAUGAGAAGGAACAAGUGUGGCGUCUCGCCGAGGGCGCAGAAACCUGUAGGGUACUCGCACUUUGGGCACUGCAAAUGAAACACACUAGAUUCAGUAGGAAGAAAAAUGCAUCAACGGCGGCGGCUGCCAUCCUAGGAUUACCUGCGACCAAGGGACUUGGAUUUAUCGGGGAUGGAUGAAGAAUUUGUACCUGGUUCUCCAUGGGAAAACCCUAUGCAAUCGUCGAGAGGGGGUUUUCUCUGAACAAGCAGGCGAGGGAGAAGGGGAUUCAGGCCCAGUGAAAUAUUGCCGCUUUGUCCGUCCAGCUUACUGCUAAAGCUGGAAGGGGGGGUUGUGAUUUGACGGCUCAUUGGGCAUUACUGCGGCGCUACGACUGGGGUGUGUCUACCGUGAAGUUUUGCAAUCUAAUUUGUGCAUAUGGCACGUGGACCCCGUUGCCGGUUGCCCCACAUAUCAGCGAAAGGAAGUAGAAAGACAGGAGUAACUAGUUAUACAUAAAUAUAUUUUUUGACAGAGAGAUACUCCCUCUGUAAAGAAAUAUACAAAUCUUUUAUAUCACAGGCUCACCUUGCCGAGAAAUAUACUCCCUCUGCAACGCACGGGCAUUAUGGGGGUUCGGCUUUUUUAUGGGGGUUCAGCUGAGAAUAUAAUACUCAGAUAGGCUCACGGUUCUGUACUUUGGGCCGCAGGCCGACCCUGCAUGUUUGGGGGCCCAUGUGUUCUACCUCAGCGCUUUUCAUAUUGCAAGCGAUCGGUACGACGCUGGUUUUAGAUGCUGUCGCAAGGCGAAUACACAAAAUUGAAUAAAGCACAUCAGCUGUUGGAAUGAAAUCGAACCACAGUUCCUAACCAACAAUCAGAGUUGCAAUUCUAUCAACGAUAUACCAUGUGAUAAAUAAUAUUAUCAUACUACUUAUACACAUAGGACACUUGUUUCACCAUGCCAGAUUAUUACAUCAAAAUCUCUUGGAGGAUAGAUCAGUUCGGCAGUUGCGUGCUACUAAUUUCAAAGUUGAUUUGGACCAGCUCUCCUUGCCGAGAAAGUUCGAUUUUGAUAUCAUCCCCUAUCGCAAGAUAUGAUUUAGAUUUGAACCUUGACCAUCCUUUAGCAUCAAUCAUCAUGCGACCAUCCUUUGUACUUACGGUAUAUUGAGCAGGUUCAUUCACACCAAGGCUGCACAUGGUAAGAGAAACUUGGCCGCGGUCGCCCGGAUUGUUGAACGACUCCCUCGUUGCUCUAGGAAUUCUCUGUUUGCAAACAAGAAGACAUACCCAAACAGUUAGAUCAACACAGUGAAUCAUGUGAAACAACAUGGAAAGAAAAAAGAACGAAGCACUUGGGCGGCCAAUGCUUACCAAGAAGGUGGACAUGUCAGUUUUUGUAAGGACUUUGGUAUAUGAAGUGCGAACUUCAGCCCAGUCUGUUGCCGGUGCAACUGCACGGGCCAGAGCAGAUGCAAGUGCAAGUGUUGGCGGGUGCCGAAGCCGCCGCUGCUGCCGGAGAUGGUGCUCCUUGUAGAGCUGGUGCCGGUGUCGGAGCAGGUGCCGGUGUCGAUGCCCGAUCAUCCGGUAGAUCAGACUGAUCCGCUGACGCGGUCGGUGCCCAAUCCUCAGCUGGAUCAGACUGAGCUACUGCCGCUGUCAGUGCUAGAGCAACUGCCGGUGCUCGAUCUGUGCGAGAUAAUGACGAUCGUGUCUGGUCUGCUAUGAUCAGCUUUCUAACUUGACUAGGAUCCGUGACCGUGAUCCAGUUUUUUCUUCAUUUCUUUUAAACGCGAGAAGGACUAAUUGUGGCGUUUUUGUUAAACCAAACUGCAGUUCAUCAUAGGAAUUCAGCUUGUACUCAGACAACAGACUGAUCCAAUUUUUUCCAGUAAUAUAAGUGAUGGACAGUGCCUUCGUUACUGACACGACAUAAGAAGUGAAACCUGCAAAAAUAGCCAUCGUAGAGCAAACCAAACGGUUUAUUCUGUGAUGAAUGUCACAUGGCAAAACCUGCAUCAUAAAAUUGCAGGAAAAGAAAGAAAACAUGACAUUAAAUCAAUAAGAUUUAGACAGUAAAUCAAUAAGAUUUACUUGAUGUGACACGAGUGAAUCCUUACCAGGAAAUCACUGUUGAAGUACUAAAUAGAAGAUUGAUCGUCCAACUACGUGUGGCAUGCAGGGGCCCUGCCUACUCCCACAAGCAGGACAGUCCAAAGGUCGUGACAAAUCGUAUGGACCGAACAUCCAUGGGACUAGAAACCGUGGUGGGUGCGAUAAACCCUGCAAUGCAUACAGAUAUUGAAGUGUAACCAUAAUUGAUAAACCGUCCUCACAAAAAUAUGAUCCGGAUACUUCAAAAUAUACAGACUGAAUUGAGUGGACAGACAUUAACAUAGACCAUUCUCAGGACUGACCACACACCAAAAGCGGCAGUACUAAUAAACAAUACAGGGUUCACAAACACAAAUCAAGUACUGAACAAUAGUACUUACUACAGACAAGCAAAGUUGCACUAACUAAACUCUGCAGACUAUUUCUUGCCACGGACCUACGGGAUGAACCCCGCAUAACUGACUAGGCCAUGGACUUCGUGUGAGAUGUCUACAUGCAUCAUCACCAUCUUGUCAACCUUGGAGAACCUAACAGAGUGGUCUUUCCACUCAUAAACAUGAUGAUGAAGACAGGACGCAUCAGAUUUGUUGGGAAGCUUUACAAGAACCACACCCUUCAUAAUCGAAGGCACAACCAGGAAAUUGUUGUGGUCAAGUACAGCCUCGAGAACACGCCUGAAAACAAUGCUACAAGAAAACAGUAGUUCAGGACACGUGGCGACAAGGACACAGCAGCUGGAUAGUUCAGCAGUAGAACUCAUCGUCAGGUCUUCCAGUUCACAUGGCAUGACUUUGAGAACUUCAUCUCCACCGCGGACCUGAUUCUAAUUCAAACAGAAACCAUAUUUUAUUACUACCUCCGUUCAGAAAUAUAAGAUGAUUUUCGAUAUUAUACUCCAUAUAUGAAUGACUACAUAUACGCACAGAAAUGAGUGAACAAAGACACUAGAACAUGUCUUCAAAGGCAUGAGAGCAGAGGGAUUACAUGUGUCGGAUUUCGGGUUCCGGCAGACCCUUGAGGUUCGAACACUGGGGUGCGCACGGAGAUCUCUCCCCUACCGAUCUACGUCAGGUCUUCUCGUGCGAACUAAGAUGAAAACGAUGAACAACACAAGGGACACGAGAUUUAUACUGGUUCGGGCCACCGUUGUGGUGUAAUACCCUACUCCAGUGUGUGGUGUGGUGUAUUGCCCCUCGGGCUGAUGAUGAACAGUACAAAGGAAGAACAGCCUCGCGAGAGGUGUCCUUGGGCUGGUGCGAUGAAGUGCUUGGGUCAGUUCAGUCGCCUCUCUCUCUAUCUCUCUGCUUAGGCUCUAUCAGAUUUCUCUAUGCCUAUGGCCGGAUGGCUCCAUGGAUCGAUCCAUCUACUCUGAAGUGGCUAGCUCUAUUUAUAGAGGCCCUGGGCCUCUCGCCGAAAUAAUUGAGCAGGAAGGGCGCCAACAAUUGGCCAUUUUGAAGGGGAACAUAUAGUACAAGUUAUCCUGGCCAAAGGUGGUCUUCGGCUGCCAAAAGCUCCGGUGGUGACGCCGUCUUGGGCUCCACGGUGACCUCCGUCCGGCCGUCCGGCUGGUCUUGGUCUCGUUGCACUGGAAUGGUAACCUUUGCCUGAUACCUUGGCCUGUGCUUGCCCCCUUUGCACCAAAGGGGAAACAAGGACUCUGCACAGGCCGGCGCCCGCCUGGCGCCCGCCUGACCUUGAUCGUCAUGGCUUGCGUCACUGGAUCCUCGUGAGGUACCCUUGCAUUGAUCUCUCUGCCUCCUCGCGAGCCCUGCCUGAUGAGGACAUACUUGAGGAAGCUCUCUGUCGUCCGCCCCACGAGGCUUGGCCCCUCGCGAGGGUCUUGAGCUUGUGUUGAUGGAGAUGGGGCUCGCUGGGCCCCCACUUGAGCCACGCCGCAGGCCGCAGGCAGGCAAGUCUGGGGACCCUCGUUCCCAGAACGCCGACAGUAGCCCCCGGGCCCAAGGCGCGCGCGGGCUUGGCUUAGCAAAGAAGCGAAGGGGCAAGCGUGAAGCGCCGCAGGCCCUAACAGCCUGCAGCCUUGGGCGCCGCAUGGCGGUUGAUUGGACGUGGGCGUCUGCGCUUCCCCACGACGCCUUGGCAACUGCGCAACUUGACUAGUCCCUGCAUGCAGAGAUAUGGGUCAUGAUUACCUGCGAUCGUGGUGCUCGGCGGUUGGACUUCUCCGGCUAUAAGUUUGGGGCCGCGUGAGCUCUAUCAGUUCGUCCCUUCCUGCUUCUUCCUCCUUCUCCUUGCUAGGACUGUCACGGAGGUCCGAUUCUUCGCCGACGCCUUAUGGGCGGGUCUAGUUCCCCCCUUUUCUGCUUUCUUCAAUGCUGUGCUCUCCCAUUACCAGAUCCACAUGAUGCACCUUGGGUCGGAAUCCAUUACCCUUUUGGCCGUCUUUGCUUUCGUGUGCGAGGCGAUGAUAGGCAUCCCUCCUUCUGUUGCCUUGCUGCGCCACUUCUUUUCCUUGCGCCUGAGCGACCCUACUCAAUGCUCGGGGUGUGUGAGCUUCUUCGCUGUGCCGGGGACGGCUGCUUCUGGGAUCGACUUCAGCCUUCCUUCAGAGCGGUGGCUGUGUGUGGACGUCGGGGUGCCCAGCCCCCUGCUCUCGCACCCGACCUUGCCUACUGUUCCCAACCCAAGCUGGGGUCAUGAACCGCUCAUGAGCCCCCGGCUCGCUUUUGUCUGGUGCCGCUUCGAGGGUUUGAGGGCACUCAAUGUGACAACUCCCAAGGUGGUGAGGGAGUUCCUUCUGUACCCCGUCGCUCCUCUCCAGCGUCACUCUCGCCGGAUGUGGGACUUUGCGGGAUGCGGAGACCGCAUGCGGCUUUAGGAGGAGGAUUUGGCGCCCGGAGUGCUGCGGACGGUGCUUCAGGUCUUGACUGGUGAUCCCUCCCCGGGUAGCAUAUGGAGCGGUGUCGCCCUUCUGUACCUUUAUUCCGGCAGGGCUGAUUUCGUGAGGCAGAUGCCCAGCUUCGACGAGUGGGGGUUGCGCCCAGCUGGCCUCACAUGGCCACGUGAGAACCCGGUUGCUGUGAUAGUUCCCCCCGUCGCCCGCAGUGGUUCCUCCUCAGGCGACCGGGUGGGGGAAGAGCCAACUGGAGCCGAGGUGGCCGCUGCCAAGGUGGUGGCGCCGCGUGAAGCUUCGGAGACGACGCCUCGGGAGGCCCGCCCCGAGGCGGUGUUUGAUGCAGGGUCCAAGUCUUCGGCUCCCGAGGCUGGGGCUUCCGAGCCCCCAGCCGUUCUUCGCGAGGCGAUGCCCCAAGAUACCCAUAAAGCUGACUUCUCCGGCGCCGAUAAUCCUAAGGCAUCUCCUUUGUCCUGGGCCGACCCCCAUCCCAGGCGCUUGCGUCGGUUUCGCAUAGACUUCGAGGCCCUUCGCAAGAGGAAGGAGGCCUCAGAUGGUAGUGACCGCCCUCGCCGCCUGCUGAAGCGCAGGAAGUACUUCGCCAUGGACGAGUAAGCCUUCUUCUUUCCUUGCUCAUUUGCUCUGUUGCCCUCGUUGUUGAUUGUGGCUCUUCAGGUCCCAUCCGGCUGAAUCCACUGGGUCGGCUCGGGAGCCAGCCCCUUCAGCUUCGCCUCCUUUACUGGCUCCGGGCCCGCCGAGCUCCGAUGGCACUCUUGUCGCUGGACCGGUUGGCGGAGUGAUCUGCUCCACGGGGCACCCCGAACCCGUUCACCCGGUGCCCCCUCUUCACGAGUCUUCUUGGGGCGUGCCAGGCUUGCCCCGCGCCUUCCCUCUGAUCAUAGAAGGUGAAUGGCUAAAGUCUGCUCUUAGCUCCUCCUCCGUGAGUGAAAUGACGCCUGGUCGGACUCCCGAAGGGGUUUGUUCGGCGAUGGAUGGGGCGGCAGCCCCCAGCCCCACGCCUGGCGGGGGCCUGCUGCCUCGAGGCCCUCCGCGUGCUCCAGCGGAGGAGGGUGACGCGGAAGAUGUGCUCAGGCGCGCUUGCGAGCGUCGCGUCCUUCGCGAGGGGUUCCUCCAGGGGGAAGCGGAUGCGAUAAACCGGGUCGGGGCAGACCUUGCCGCCGAAGAUGCACGCCUUGAGGCCGAAGGCCUGCGCCUCGCUGAGGAGAGGCACAAGUUGAAGGUUGCCAUUGCCCUCGCGCGCCACCAACGCGAUCGCGACAACGUGAAGGCUGAAGUGUUGCUCGCGGCGUCGCGGGAGGCCUGCUCCCUGGCCGUCGAGGAGGCUCGGGAGGCAGACCGGCGACACAGGGACGCGGAGGAGCGCGUAUGGGAGCUCCAAGCCUGUAGGAACUCCCUGGAGCAGCAAGUGGAGCUGCGCCACGUGGCCCUUUGGUCGAUGCAGGAGGCCGCCGUCGACUGUGCGGAGCUCCAGAGGCGCGAGGAAGCGUUGACGCUCAAGGCCGCCGAGCGCAACCUUGACUUGGAGCGGUUGGAGACAAGGGAGCGCCUGGCGGCCCAGGCAGAGGACAACAUGGCAGCGUGCGAGGCCCGGAUCCAGGAAGAGGUCGACCGCCGCGCGGCGGGUGCUCACUCGGCCCUCGAGCGUGAGUACGAGGCGAAGUUGACGCUGAUUAGGGCCAAGGCCAAGGGCAGGACAGCGGCCAUCAAGGCCAAGUUGGUUGAAGAGAUGCGGCACGCGGAUUCCUCCGCAGCCGCCCUUGCGGCGGCGCGGGCGGAACUGUCCUCUUCCCGGGAUGAGCUGCUUCUUCUUCGACAGAGGGUUGUUGAUGCCGAAGCCACCGCACGGCAGAAUGAGGACGAGAUCCGCCAGCGGAGGCUCCUGGAGCACGAGCAUGCUCCCAUGCUUCAGACGCUCAGGGAGAAGGCCAACUCAGCCUUAGGUGAGAUUUGCGAGGCCUCCGCUAAGGAACCGCAUGAGACCAAGUACGCUGACAACCUUCAGUUCUUUACCGACGUGGUGACGCUUCUGGAGGACCACUCCGAGAGGGCUCGUUGGCUUGUUGAAGAGAGGAGCCGAGACUUACUUAAGCGUGCCUUCUCCCGUGUCUUCAGCUAUCUUCAGGAAAGGGACCCCCACUUCGACUUUGAUGCCGCCAUCGCACCCGUGCCCAUAGCUGUCCGGGGUGACCUGGUGCAAUGGGUGGAGAAUAACAUGGAUGCCCUCGUCCGGGCCUUCACGUCUGACGAUGACGGAGUGGUCGUGGGUGCUGAUGCUGGUAGCGUUGAAGGUGCGCCUGGUGCUGGCGGAAACGCGGGCGGUGGGGGCGACAACGUCAAUGAUGCCAGUGAUGCUUUUGAGGAUGCCCCGGAGGACGCGGUGAGUGAUAUGUCCGACUGACUGCAUGUCUCCGCGGUUCAUCCUGCACAGAGAAGACUCGGGCUUGGCCCUGAAGAGUGUAAGAGAAUUUUGAGAGGGGAGGCCCCUCAUGUAAAGAUUUGUAAUCGGUACCCUGGCGGGUACAACGUUGCGCGUGAGUUUGGCCGUUAGCCUAGCGAUGGUUCUGUCGAUUUGUUUACCUUUCAGCCCUGGUGAGCCCUGAACGGGCCUGUGAAGGGGGCUUCGCGCCUUGGGCCUCCUUCACAGGUACCGGCGAAGGGGGCGUCGCACCUUGGGCGCCUUUUGAUUAACCCGCCGAUCCUGCGAUGAGAACCUCCGGAGAGGGAGCGGGGACAGUGGUCCUGGUCGCAGGCGUGCCUGGCCCGGCCCAGAUCACGAGGGGCUCGUGAGGGGGGGGGCAGCCGAUGCUAGCUCGGGGCGUAAAAGCCGAAAUCAGAACGCGAGAGAUUGCUCGAACGAGACUAAACACCCCUUCCCCAAAAACAUGCAAGCUUCAAACUCAAAUCCAACUUAAAUUCAAACCAAAGAAACUUGUCAACAAGGGAGAAGCAAAAAGCAAAAGGCCGCGUCCGGCACCUAGUCUAGUCUUCGACGUCUUCUCACCAGCACGGAGCUAAGUGCUGCCACUGGGCGUGGGCGGGAGCCCCAGGGCCUGAGGCCGGCACCCCUGAGACUCCGGGGCGUGUAUAGCCCCACUCAUUAUUACAUGAGAGUGUCACGGGGCGGCGAGCUUCACAGGCACUGGGCCUUCUUCAUAGGUACCGGCCUUGCUUCAUAUCGCCAGACGAGGGCCCCGCCUUGCGCCACACUCUACCGCCAUUGGCGGCGACCGGAAACCAAGGACGACGCCAAUGGGGUAGAGCGGUCGGCAGCGGUUCCCCCGACGACCACGGGUCCUCUGCCGGGGGCAGGCCACGGGGCACCUCCCCGGCAGAGGGCCUACCGCCUGAGAACACCUUGCUCCAAACGCCGCAAGGGCGAACCUUGAUCUCGGCCCCUCUCCUGCAGCCCCCUGCGCCCUCCUCCUGAGGGGUAGGAGGCCGCAACAUUAGGGCAGCCAUCUGCUGUGGCGACCUGUACCUCCUGCGACCCAUGGUUAGCGUAAGCUUGCUCCUAAGGGAUGAGUGGUGCCCGAUAGUUGUUGCUGUCAGUGUGGUUGUCGAGGCUCUCCUGAGGUCCCUGAAAGAGCUCGGCUUCUGGCGCCUCCUCGUCCCAGCCGGGCCCGAGGAACGAGCCGUGAUCUUCCUCCAGCGUGCGUCCCUGAUCCACCAUGCGGGGGACAUAAGCUUCCAGGGCCACCACCUCGUGGACCCCACCGUAGCGCCCCGCAUGCCAUGCAGUCUGGUUGGGGGCGUCGCCUUGGGGGUGAUGGCGUGGUGGUCCACUGAAGACGAAGGCUGGGGCGCGCAUCCCUUCGCCGGCCUGAGGAAGGGCCGGCGCGACCUGCCGCCCGAUGCUGAUGGUGGCGUUGGCGCUGGACGGGCCCGGGAGUCCGCUUGGAGUGGCAUGAGCACGCACAACGCCGAUGUGCGAUCCGUCCUAGGCCUGGGGCGGCAACUGGAUGCAGAAAGGGGGUGCUCCUGAGGCGGCGGCGUCCAGGAGCUCGGACACUCGCUCCAGCAGCACGUCGCGGCCGCCUUCCAGUAAGCGGCACCGUAGUAGCUCUCGGGCCACCGUGAGCGCGGCCCUGGAGUUCGCCUGCUCUCUCGGGUGUACGGCGCUGUGGCAGCGGCAUGGUUCGAGGCCCUUGCUGAGGACGUACUUGAGGAAGCUCUCUGUCGUCUGCCCCGCGAGGCUUGGCCCCUCGCGAGGGUCUUGAGCUUGUGUUGAUGGAGAUGGGCGUCGCUGGGCCCCCACUUGAGCCACGCCGCAGGCCGCAGGCAGGCAAGUCUGGGGACCCCCGUUCCCAGAACACCGACAACAUGCAAAAUCCAUAACACAAGUUACUGAGGCAAAUAUACCCUCUUAAAAGGUAGCAUUGAUGUUCAUAAAGUACUCCCUCCGUCCCAAAAUUCUUGUCUUAGAUUUGUCUAGAUACGGAUGUAUCAAGUCACAUUUUAGUAUUAGAUACAUCCGUAUCUAGACAAAUGUAAGAGAAGAAUUUUGGGACAAAGGGAGUAGUUGAAAGUAAUCUAUAAGAAAUCAGUGUCAACCUCUCGCAUGUUUUGGUCAAAAGAGGAAUUUAGAACCGUCAUUUGGCACACAAAAAUCACAUGCAAGAUCACCCAGAAAAUUGUACUACUAGUACUAGUACUGCGUGUUAGAUGAAAAAACACGAUCAAGAUCGAGAAAAGAUCGUCAAGAAGAUAUAUUACCUGGACUUGCUUAAUGAGGGAUCCCGGAGAGGGGGGAUUGGACAGGGCGAUGGCUUUGAGCUUGUUUGCGGUAGUCUCGGCGGGGUGCUUGCGCUUCUUCGUACCAUGAGCCUCGACGGUUUUGGCCGGAGCCAUAGACAUCACUUCGGCCGGUGACCCAGCGUCCAUCAAGAAACUGUCAAAUAGAAAUAAAAGAAAAUAAACCAUAAUCACAAGCCCAAAAGAAUCAAAGAGAGGGAGUUAUAGGAUCAGUCUCGGGGUUGCAAGACCAGGCCUUGGCCAGAAUCAACAACAUUGAUGCGCUCACCUUUCCUUCUUUGGGAGAGAAGAACAAUGGCAGAAGCAGGUCGGGGUUUUCUUGAAGAAAUGAGGAACAAGAUGAGGCAGAAGCGAGGGUUGGGUAGAGAGGAAGCUGAGAGAGAAGAGUGAAAUGAUGGUUGCUUCGUCCGUCCAACUUACCGCUAGAAAGGAGGGGGUUUUGUGAUUUGACGGCUCAUUGGGCAUUACUGCGGCGCUUCGAUCGGGGUAGUCUACCAUCACUCUACUACGGAGUAAUUUAGUGCAUGGCUGGUGGACCCCGAUGCUGGCUGUCCCACACGUCGGUGAAAGUGAGUAAUUUAGUGCAUGGCUGGAGGAGGAUCCGCACGGUAGAGCGUGUCCACUGUUUUUCAAAAGAAAAAAUGAUUACAACAAGUGUUUCCACUCUUACGACGGAGGAGUGCGAAACACGGCAGCCACUUGAACAUACACAGUGCUCCUACUACUAGGCAUGUGCAGUGGUUCAUACGUCAGUACUACACAAUCUUGUUGCUAGUGUAGUAAGAUAUGACGAUAACAAAUGAUGUUGUGCGCAUGUCAACUACUCCUAUAUGUAACGAAUACACGAAGAGGAAACAACUAUAUUGAGAUGAGAAUGCAACCAAACACACCCACACGCUUUGUGCUACAGUGACUGAUCUGCACCGUCUGAGUUUGAUCCAACGGUCAUGUUGCGCCGAGACAUGGACAUGCCCAUGCAGAGGGCGCCUAAACACCACCAAAGUCCCUCUGCUUCUCGAGGCACACGACGUUGGUGAUGCAGGGUGCAACCGCCCGCAGAGCCCGCUCCCGGUCGACUGGAGCGAGCUCGUCAAAGACGGCGUCCAAUGGCACGAAUGGAUUCCGGUGACGGAGCCCUAAAAGGAUUCACCCGGCAACGGCGACGGCAGCCUGCAACCCCUCCUUGUCCAGCUCAGCCCCCACCAUCGUGCGAAGACGGCUCAGCUCCUCGGAGAUAUAGGUGAAGAAGGAGACCAGGUCAGGAAGCCGCAGCUCGUUGAAGUCGACUGGGUGGUCGAACGGGUUUAGCCCGAUGGCCCGCAUCGUCGCGCUGGCAUGAUGGUAGGCAUCGCGUAGCCGCAACACGUGCGUGGAAACUUGGUUCACCAAGUGGCUGAGACGAUCCUGGACCUCGUCACGAUCGGCCCGCUCGCGCUCCAGCCAGCUCCCUUGAUGGCCUAUCGUAUCUCCCGCUUUCUGUAGCAACGCCACCGACACCUCGAGCAUCUUUGUGGUGGACACCUGCCGCUUUUGAAGCUCCGUGAACUCCCACACAUAACGGAGGAGCAUGGCACUCCUCUCCUCCUUGAGCUCACGGAGCUCCACGUCCUUGGCCCUGAGCUCCACAACCUUGGCAUGGAGCUCCUGUGUCAGGAGCCUCACCUCAGACUUCGUGAUCUGCUGAGCCACCAUGGCACCAGGUGGAAGCAAUGGGGAGAGGAAGAAAAGGGGGCGAAAUAGCUGAAAGGCAAUGCAAUCUACGGGAAGGCGGAGGGAGCGGGGAAUCUUUUGGUUUUCACCACGGUAAAACACCAGUCGAUGACUUCUCACAUCCGGGAGUGGUGGGUUUUUACAGGCAGAGUCAUCGUGACUAAUUGCUGUCGCGCCUGCUCCCGUCAAUCAAAAAAUUAAAAAUCCUGUCGCGCCUGCUCCCGUCAAUCAAAAAAAUAAAAAACCUGCCGCACCCAAACACUAGAGCAACGCCGCGGUGGAUAUUUAUAUUUACCUGCCGGCAAGUAGAUAAAAAAGGGGUGAAAAAACAAAUGUGGCGGCGGCCUAGCUAAUCGGUCGAACUAGCCCAACUAGCUAGCCACCGUGCUUCACUGAUGUACUCGACGGGAAAGGUGGUCUUUCAUGAUUUGACGACUCAUUUACUUGCUUCGGCGCUACGACCGAGGAGGACCCAGAAAAUGCAUGGUAGGGCGUCCCACAUCAGGAAGAAUAUAUGUGUGCACCACCCGGGAGGACCCCAGAACCGCGCGGUAGGGUGUGCCACGUCUCGGCAUGGAAGAAAAAUGUUUGUGUAAAAAUAUACUGUAUCAUACGUAGUACCUAUGGUUCGACCUCGGGACCCAGCCAGUCGGUCGAAAACACCCCACUAGCCACACAGCUUCAUCAUGCAAACGUGGCACGGAGGAUAGAUGUGGUUAGCUCCGUCUUGACCAGCCACAACGUAUCUUGUUCUAGGCGAUUCUUCUAUUUUCCAAGCUUUUUUAGUUGUAAUAACACCACGGCAAGCUAGCGCCACUCUUCGUGUGUGCUCGUGCAAAGGUUAGACGAUGGAGAGAAGAGAGAUUGAGAUCGCAGACCUGGGACCCACUAGUAAGUGAGACAACGGUCAUGCACGUGUUGACGAGGCACUCCCUCUACUCUACUCAAAGAAAGUACUGUAUAAAUAAAAUCAAGUUAUGGGACAAAGCCAACAACCGUUCAUUUUUUCAGGCUAUCGACUUACGCUUUGUAGUCCAGGUUGCCAGUUCGAAUCUCGUCUUUCAGAUUUGUUAGUUUUAGGUCCAAAUUUGAUUAAUGACAAGUGGGACCCCCGUGUGUUGUUCCGAUAUUUCAGUGUAGGAUGGUUUUUUUUUGAACAAACACUUUGCGCGGUUAGACAAGUAACGGCACGAGUUACACGUAUUUUGCAAGUUUAUGAACAAAAAUGACAGCGGCAUAGAAUAUCACAUCCAGCCCGCAGCUUAGAUACUAUGGUGAUACGAGUUUUUACCCUGUUGGAAGUGAGAUCCAAUGGCUUGGGAGUAGUCUUUGUAAUUAUGCGCAAUUUCCAAACUCUUCAAAGGUUUUUUUACAAAUAAAACAUUCAGGCCUCGUGUGUGCCGCUGCAUCUUCAAUCCAACAGCUCGCCGGUGCUCAUAUUAGGUGCUCCCCGUAGCUUAAUUACCCGCUACGGUGAUAUGAGCAUCUAGGUCGUAUGAUCAAUGAUCAGAUGGCACAUGCGUAGUACUUGUACUUUCUGCGCAUUUCCCAAACUCUAUCAGUCGUAUAUUGCAAAAACAUUCAAACCUCCUAUUGUGGGCCGUUAGAUCUCAGUGAACUCGUAUCACCAUAGAAUUUACGAUGCGGGAGAACCUCAUACUCUCCCGUGCGAGAAAACAUAAGGUGCUAUCGCAACUUGGAUGCUAUGGUGAUAUGAGCUUGGAGGUCGUUUGAUCUGAGAUCCAAUGGCAUCUGAGCAGUCUUUGUGCUUGUAAGCAGUGGCCGAACUCUUUUGGGGCUUUUCUGCAAAAAACCAUUCGAACCACCGAGGAGGUGUUGGGUCACAAAUCCAACGCCUCCGAAGAGCUUAUAUCACCAAAGCAUCUAAGGUGUGGUAGCACAUGAUAUUCUUACAUACAGGAGGAUAUGAUGUCCUCCUUCAUCUUAGAUUCUACGGUGAUACGAGCUUCGAGGUCGUUGGAUAUGGGAUGAAAGGGCAUCUAAGUAGUUUUUGUACAAAUUGUGUGCAAUUCUCAAACUCAUCAAGGUUUCCUGGAGAAAUAUUAAGACACAUCAUGUGAGCUGCUAUAUCUCAGAUCUACAAGCUCCAGGCAACUCGUAUCGGCAUAUAGCAUCUAAGGUAUGGGGGCACAUGAUAUUCUCCCGGGGAGGAGGGGUGGGGGUGCACAACCAAUCGGUGGCUGGGAGGGCGGGGACAAAUAUAAUCUAAACAACCCUAAACCGAGCUCCACAAUUUUAUCUAAGGUCGAGGGGUUGACCCCCGAUAAUCAUAGCUCCGCCUAAACAGAACAUUUGCAUGUACUGUAGUAAUAGACUUAAUAUUCAUGUUUUAGUUUCAUGUUCAUUUUAAAUAUUGAACUGAGGACCAUGGAUGUCUUACAUUUUACUCCCUUCGUUCCCAAAUAUUAGUCUUUUUAGAGGCUUCAAAUGGACUGGCACAUACAGAUGUAUAUAGACAUAUAUUAGAGUCUAGAUUCACUCAUUUUGCUCCAUAUGUAGUCACUUGUUGAACUCUCUAAAAGACUAAUAUUUAGGAAUAGAAGGAGUAUUUUUGAAUUCGUGUCAUACAUGCAUGGUUUGCAAAAAUAGAUGCACUAUACUUAUUGGAUUGUUGUUCUGUUCGUGCGUGUGUCUCUCUCUCUGUGUGUGUGUGUGGUCAUAUGCUUGAUACAUACAAAGUUUUCUCACCUCCAUGUUGUUCAUCUUUUAAAUUUGAAUUUGCAUUGGUAAACUUACUAGGGAUACCAUGAAAUGUGAAAUCCACAUUGAGAUCACUAUAUCACAAACUCAUUCUAAUUCAACAACUCGUCAUAAAUCAAUUACCACGUUGAGAUUAGUAUUUGCAAGGAAAAUACGGGUAUUGUAAUACACAUAGAUUCGUUCGGCAAUUUAAAAGGUUCCUUUCGUAUUCUCGAAUGGUAGGACCCAACGGCGUACCAGCCAGACCUUGGCUAGUGUUGAUCCUAAAAAAAGCGGGCUCAUGUCCUUCGGUGGCGUGCGUGGUACGCACAUUAGGCAACCCCAUUACCCCAACCAGUCGAGCCUCAUCGUUUCAAGUCGAAAUAUCUAGCGGCCAGAAUUCCAGCCCUAGGAAAUUACCCUCAUGUCCCCUGUCCAUAAUGACUACCGAUGAACAACCGAGGGAUGCUUUAGUAACUAGACAACGUUACCUACCGUGCCGAGCACGGUUCAAUUCCCUCGGUCGCUGCUCGUCAAGGUCACCCGUCAACUGCAUUGCCUAGUACUACUACUACUACUACAACAACAACAACUACUACUACUACUACUACUACUACUACUACUACUACUACACCAGGAUGAGCAUAGAAUUGAGCCCGUUAGUUCGUGCCUAGUACUUGAGUUAAUAUAUCAGGCAAUGCACUGGUACGGAGGGAUUAUCCUUUUACUCUGCAUAUAUAACUUGUCUGAAGUCUAACUAAGCAAAAUGUUUGACCAAAUCCUUUCUUAAGAAAUACAACAGGACAGAUGUACGGCUUGAAAAUUUAUUGCAUGAUGCAGGUUAUGAUAUUGUUUCGAAUCCUUUAUCUUAAAUUUCAGAAAAUCCAAAAGUGAGCAUAAAUUCUUGAAACUAAGCAUGGUCACGUGAUAUGACACAAAUAUUACUUCAUAAGUUUUUUCUUCAAUUUGAGACAAGCUGCUUAUGACAAGUUGCACAAAUGAAGAGCCAAGGUAUUUUGGAAGAAAGACCUGUCAUGUUACGUUUACGUGCUGCCACGUGUCCCCGCUUCUCAUAGGCAAUCGGCAGGUGCCGUCCGAGCAAGCGUGUUAGUCGAUAGGAGGCGUGCGAGCAGACCGCUACGCCGGCUGUCAGGGAGGCCUGCGAGCAGACCGCUGUGCAGGCUCACCGGGAGGCGAGCCCUUUGACCAGGCUCUGCCACUCACCGUCGUCCCAACUGCUCCCACUUUUAAUGUCGCCGACGCUGCAGUUUAAAAUCAACCCCGCACUACCCAGUUUGAAUUGAGCCUUAUAAACCGGAAAGGAGGGAGUAUCGCUACAAUCCUCUCUCUUCCUCUCCGAUUCUCCUGUCGUCUACCUCCAACUAGCCUGACCUAAACGUACGCCAUGCCGCAUCAUGAUGGUCUGCCCUUAGUGUUCCAGUUUCCUGAGGACGACACCCAGCCGGAGUCUCAAGAACAUAAGGCGCUUUGGGACGAGCUUGAACUGGCCUUGCGGGAAGAUGCCACGCCUGUCCCCGCUCCCGUUCCGGCUCCCGUCGCCCCGACUGCGCCAGCGCCCAUCCCCGUGGCAUUGAUGGGCUGGGAGCCGCACAUUGUCGCCGAGCUUGAUCCCACGGGGUUCCACGAGGUGCCCGCCGACUUUCAUGCGCCCGUGCACCUGCCAGCACAUGCGCCUGCGCGUGCACUGACGCGCACGCCCGUGCCCGUGCCGGUGCCCGUGCACCUGCCAGCGCCUGCGCCUGCGCGUGCACUGACGUGCGCGCCCGUGCCGGUGCCCGUGCACAUGAAUGUCUUUGCCAUGCCGUUGACAGCGCCUGUCCCCGCGCGGGUGCCAGUGCUCCCCUCAGUGGCAUGGAUGGCCGCCGUCGACCGCUUUCUUGCACCAACGUCAGUCGCCUCCUCCCGCCAGUCGACUCGCUCCGAAGUCUAGAACAUUUUGGCCUUCCUUGAAGCUAGGCCAACAUCCAGGAGUACGCCAACAACGGUGCAAGACGCCGUCGUCGCCGUCGGCCAGUGGCCCGACGACACACAAAGCGCGGCAGAGGAGCCGUUUCCCACCGCGAGACACCCCCGCCGCCGCCGCGUAAUCUAAAUUUGCCAUGAAAAAUGUUCGGAUUGCCAUGCUUAAAAUCCGAAUGUUUAUCAUUUCCGUUUAUUUUAUAUCGAUCGUCGUAUAAUUUAAAGUCGGAGUCAGACUGAACGAAAUGUAUGGUUUGAUCGAUUGAAUGUUCUGCUAGAGCCGUAUCAAAUUAAAUAUAAAACGUCAUCAAGCCACAUGUAUUCCUUGUCAUCCAACGACCUAGAAUGCUUCAAUGUUGAGCGCUCAACACGUUUAGCGUGCAGUUAAUUUCAUGUCAAAAAUAGUGCUAAUCACAUGACAACACGCAAAUAAUAUCCUAGUAAUUAAUAUCCGCUUGCACUUAAUAUACAUCCAAAUUAACGUUCAUUGCGCGUACACACUGACUAGUGCUGCUAGUACGUGAAACUGGUGCCGUGACUUGUGAACGCGUCCAGAUAUGGUCAACGGCAACAUCACCCGCAAGUUCUUCCGGUUUGCCCGUGCGUCUAAAUGCAGAAGGGGAGGAGAGAGAGAGCACACAUGGAACCCACCAGUAAGUGAAGACGUGUAGAUAUAUUUUGUGCGUGGGAGGAAGCAAGGUCAACCGAUCACAUAGGGUCGUCGUGCGAUCGAAAGAGUGAGACGGGUUGGAGAGAGUGACCUAGAUAGACAAUGUGCGUGAGAGAGUAUACAAUGUGAAUAGGUCGAAUUGGGCUCAAACAUGGUGAUAUAUCGUUUUUGUCCGAGAAAGAGCGAGGUCAAUCGAGACAUACGGAGAGAGAGAGAGAGAGAUUGAGGGUGUGUUCGGAUCCUCUCCGGCUUCACAAAACUCCACAGAUUCAACUUCUCCUCCGCGCUUCUAGCUUCAGGUAGCGAUUACAGAAGCGUUCUAGACAUCGGCAGCUUCUCCUGCAGCUGUAGCCCAGUUGAGAGGGUUGUGGCCUGUUAGGCGGAGGUUUGGGCCGGCUGGAUGCAGCCCAAUUAGGAGGGGCUAGCCGUUCGAUCGAUGAUUGACAUAACGAUUCGAGAGGAUCUGUUUCUUUUUGAGAGGAGGCAGCCAAGCGGUAUCCUUGGAUGUGGCAAUUCGCUGUAAAUAGAGAAAACUCCACGCUUCACAUUUUGGUGGAGCUGGGCCGGCCUUGCUUCUCUUUUUUGCACGUAGGGAAGGAGCGGCUUCGUGAAGUCAGCUUCUCGGGCUAAAACCGUUCGGGACAAUUUCAUACAUGAAGUUUUUGAAGCGUGUAGCUGGAGGACAUCAGAACAGGCCCUGAGUGAGCAUGGCCCACCAUGAGGUCGAAAGAGUGGUGGCCUCUUGGAUGGACUGGCCUAGAUAGACAAUCUGCAUGAGAGAGUAUAGAGUGUGUCGAUCGAGGCCCGAAUAGGGAGAUAUAUCAUUUGUGUGUGAAAGAAAACGAGGUUAAACGAGACUCGGAUAAAGAGAGCGAGAUUGAGCGAGUGUGGCCCGCCGUGCGGAAGAAAGAGUGAGACAGUCUCGAGGGAGUGACCUAGAUAUACAACAUGCAUGUGUGCGCAUGCACGAGAGGUUGGGGGGCUAGAUAGGCAAUNNNNNNNNNNNNNNNNNNNNNNNNNNNNNNNNNNNNNNNNNNNNNNNNNNNNNNNNNNNNNNNNNNNNNNNNNNNNNNNNNNNNNNNNNNNNNNNNNNNNNNNNNNNNNNNNNNNNNNNNNNNNNNNNNNNNNNNNNNNNNNNNNNNNNNNNNNNNNNNNNNNNNNNNNNNNNNNNNNNNNNNNNNNNNNNNNNNNNNNNNNNNNNNNNNNNNNNNNNNNNNNNNNNNNNNNNNNNNNNNNNNNNNNNNNNNNNNNNNNNNNNNNNNNNNNNNNNNNNNNNNNNNNNNNNNNNNNNNNNNNNNNNNNNNNNNNNNNNNNNNNNNNNNNNNNNNNNNNNNNNNNNNNNNNNNNNNNNNNNNNNNNNNNNNNNNNNNNNNNNNNNNNNNNNNNNNNNNNNNNNNNNNNNNNNNNNNNNNNNNNNNNNNNNNNNNNNNNNNNNNNNNNNNNNNNNNNNNNNNNNNNNNNNNNNNNNNNNNNNNNNNNNNNNNNNNNNNNNNNNNNNNNNNNNNNNNNNNNNNNNNNNNNNNNNNNNNNNNNNNNNNNNNNNNNNNNNNNNNNNNNNNNNNNNNNNNNNNNNNNNNNNNNNNNNNNNNNNNNNNNNNNNNNNNNNNNNNNNNNNNNNNNNNNNNNNNNNNUACAUAGUAUGAGACUUAAUAUCGAUGUUUCAAUUCGGUGUACAUUGUAAGAUUUGAACCGAGGAGCAGGCAUACGGGUAAUUAUUUUGAAUUCAUGCCAUACUAAGUUUCGAAAAGUUGACAUUGACUCAGUUUGUUGUGCUAUUUUGUAGGUCAUAUGUUUGAAUCCAUCCAAAAGUUUUCUCAAUACCAUGGUGUUCAUCAUAUACGUAUGCAUUUGUAUUAAAAAAAGUAGCAUGGAUAUAGUGAAAUGCGAAAUCCACGUUAGAAUUGGAUAUUGCUACGUGACACACACUCUAAUUCAAAUAACUAACUACGUGACACACACUCUAAUUCAAAUAACUAAUUAUGUGAGACACACUCUAAUCCACGUCAGCAUGGGUACCGUUUUGAUUUUUUUUAAAUAACUCCUCAUUAAUUAAUUUAUAGUACUCCCUAUGUUCACUUUUAUAAGACCUUGAAGACAUUUUAGACAAUGUGCAAAACAGUUCAUUUUAAGUUAUUUGAAACGACUUACAAAAGUGAAUGGAUGGAGUAUCUCAUUUCGAAUGACUAGUUAUUGCAAGGAAAACAUGGUCAUGGUAAUACAUACAGAUUCGUUUGCAAAUGAAAGAAGAUUCGUUUGCAUUCUCAAAUGUAGGCUCACCAGGCAAACGAGGGUCGUGUCGUUGUGGAUGCUACUUCGGUGCCUUAANNNNNNNNNNNNNNNNNNNNNNNNNNNNNNNNNNNNNNNNNNNNNNNNNNNNNNNNNNNNNNNNNNNNNNNNNNNNNNNNNNNNNNNNNNNNNNNNNNNNNNNNNNNNNNNNNNNNNNNNNNNNNNNNNNNNNNNNNNNNNNNNNNNNNNNNNNNNNNNNNNNNNNNNNNNNNNNNNNNNNNNNNNNNNNNNNNNNNNNNNNNNNNNNNNNNAGUUCGCGCUUCCAUGUUUCGGAUUGAAAUAUCUGGCGGCCCCUUCUAGCCCUGCAAAAUCUCUCUUCUCCACCGUCCCCUUCCGCGCCCAGAUUUCUCAAAUCCCUAAUUCGCCACCAACCCUCGAAUCGCCCCUCGUCUCGUCUCUUUCCCCACCGUUCCCCACCUCUGUGCCGGACGACGAUGACGAAGACGACGGUCGCGCUUCACCACCGCACGGGAGCUACCUCAUCUACGCCCUCGUCCACCGCACCGGGUGGUCCACCGACAACGUCGGCCGCCACAACUGACGUGCCUCACAGACACCGAGUUCCACCGCAUCAGGUGCGCUUCACCGACGCCGUCUCCCAGCUCACCGGGGCUACUUCACCGAGCACAUCGUUGCACCUCCGCCCCCCGAGGCCGUUGGGGCUUCACCAACGGUCUCGUCCACCGCAUCAUAGCGCUUCGCUGCCACUCAAGAUCUGCAUCCGUGCGCGGCCAGCCAACGCCAGCGCAUCACCCUCAACGGCUCUGAAGUGACCCGCACUCUAGCUAGGCGAGCAUGCCCAAAUGCCGGCCCGAACUAGGUAUCCACACAUCACUCCCUUGUGCACUAUUCCGAUGAUGUUUGGAUAUCCUUUCACUGCUCUCUUAGCUUACACGCCUAUGCAACUCUGACCUUAACUCUUAUUUCUUCUGGAGAUAUCAUCUGAAACAAGCAAAUCCAUAUUUUAGCGAAGCAUGACGGCGCUACGGGAUCUGGUACACAUCGUGCACACCCGUAUAACCUUUAAGUAUCUGUCCUCCGGUACAACAUCAAGGUCGAUUCCUCUUAUUUGAUCAACCAUUCGCCGUGUCAAAAAUGCAGAGGGGGGUGCAAGGAGCACAAGGCCUGCACAUCCAAGCAAGUGGUAACAUGGACUUGUACAUGGAACAACCCAAGCGCAAGCAGAGCUGCAGUGAGCCUGUACAACGAGCUAGCGUAAGUCCCUGCAUUUCAUUUAAUUCAUACUGGCAUUCGUGUAUGAUUUGUGUGCAGUUGCUGAUCCACGAAUUCAAGUUACCAGGGGCGAACAUUUAACUUAACAAAUACAAAGACACUUGCACUCCAGAAAUCAACAUAACUUGAGAAAUGUGAAGCUACAUGCCCUUUGAAAACCAGCUAAUGAUCCAAAGUAGUUCAGAUUAUAAACACUAAAUGAUGCAAGCACCAAAAAACACAAAAUGCAACAUGGUGUACAAGGACUACAAACAUGGUCUGUACCUGCUUGAAUUAUUCGUUCUCUGGCUGAAAAUAUCGAAGUGUAAUUGCACGUAUAACCAGUGCGCAAACUGCAUAUCAAUAUAUCUAUCCUGCACAAGUAUGCGAAUAGUUUCAAACAACAGAUUAGAAAAGUAUUUAUGCUAUCUUGUCAUGAUACGGGGACUUUCUGGUAGAUGGCCUCGACGUUUCCUCAAGCUAUGAAAAUGCACUAUAAUUUGCUUGUCAUCAAUGCAUGCAAAUCUCUGUCUCUCUCAACAUAGUAGAUCAUCAUUAGACACUAAAUCCUUCAAUGAGCUUGCAAAAUGCUUGCAUUAGAUCCCUCAUUAGACACUAUAUGUUCAUCACCAGGAGCAUGUAAAAUGUUUGCAUCAAAUCCUUCAUUAGCAGUCUGUUCAUUAGACACUUCAGGCUCAAGAACAACAUGAGCUUGUAUGUUUGCACCGGAAACUUGAUUAGAUACAUCAGAUUCAGUCAGUUCAGUAUUGAUUGGGGGAGUUACUCAUAGAUUCCCUACAUACAAGCAGUUUUACAACACCGUCAGGUUUAACUAUUGGCCAGAAAUUGAAGAGUUGAAUUAGAUAUAAUCAGGGAUGUGAUGUACAUGCUCGUUGUGCAUGCUACUCUUGCAAUUAGCGACUGUCCAUUUGCGCAAGCUCGAUGCCAUGCCCGUGCUGCCGCCGCUGCCUCCCACGCAGGCUACACCCAGGGUUGGAUCUUCAUCUUCUUGUCCUUCUGUUCUCUUGAAGCCCGGCGACGGCCCUCCAACGAGGGCGCGAGGAAGUGCUAUGUCGGUCUGUCCGGCGGCGGCUAGGUUAGGAGCGAACCAGACUGAAGGCUGGAGCGAAUGAAUUGGGAUUUUUCCUGCUGUCGAUCGAUAUGGGAGGCGCUCGUUUGGGCCGCGAGCCUGCUAUAGGGCAUGCCUUGCACUUAUGUUAUUGGCCCAUCCAAAUUGAAACAUUUUUCUUCAUUUUUUACAUUGCCUGCUCAUGAGUUGGGACGAACAAAACUAGCGUGGGCCAACCUGGACGACUAAACUAGGUGCACACUUUCCAGCCACCUGAGGCAACCGCCCAUACCAACCCCUAUGGUGGCGUCGCCCCUUUUUGCGUGUAUGAUUGGAUAGUAAAAAAUAUUCCAGUGGCACUUUUGAUUUACCCACAGAAUGGUUGAAUUGCUUGUUUCUAUGAACUGAGUUCGCCAAUAAUGUGAAGGAUGCCAGUCUUUUCAUCCUAUUGUAGAUUGCUUAGAUCUCGAUAUGCCAAAAGUAAUCGCAUGAAAUAUACAGUAAAAGCCAGUGUGAUGUGUUUGGCUACAACUAGUCUGACUACACGUCCUCAUAUAACAUAUCAAGGACGCACCAUCUUACUAGAUUAACCAUUCGACUUACCCAUGCAGUGUGGGAAGAAAGAAGUAUUGGGACUGCGUAUCCAAGCAAUUGAUGCCAUGGACUCCUUCAUACAACCAUGUAAGCGAAAAAGAAGUUGCAGUGUGCCUGUAGAAAGAACUAGCGUAAGUUCAGUUACCUGCUUCUCAGAAUUUUAGUUAGCCACUUAUUGCAAAAUUGUUCAAUUACGUUGCUUGGCUUAAUUUAGUUUGCUACUGAUUACAUAAUGGCACAGCCUAUUAAUCAUAUUGUAGACUGCGCCUAUCUAUGUGUUUGAUACUUACUGUUAAGAAUUACCUGUUUGACUUAACUUAAAUAUCUACUUGUUUGUUUAACUGCUUUGCUGCUGCAACAGCGGGUUACAAUGAUGUUAAUAACUACUUUUCAGCAUCCAAUUGAAACUCUUUAAUUCCUUGUUUGUUUAACUGGUUUGCUAUUAUAACUCCCAGUUGAGAUGUUUUGCGAACUUCAACUUUUCUGAAUCCAAUCGGAACUUUAAUGGCAAAAAAGGUUAGCCCAAGAUCAAAGAGCAAGGUCCCCAUGGACGUUGCAUCAUCCCACAGCAGUGGCACCGGCCCAAUCAUGCAUUAUGAAUUGCCAACUGCUGAUGCUCUAGAGGCUAAACUAGUGGUAGAAAGAGAUUCUGCUUCUGCACUUAGAGAUGAAGUUGACAUGUUGAGGAAGCAAACAGCACAAUCACAAGCAGUACUCAAGACAACCAUUAAAUAUUUGGUGGAUUUCAAAACGAAGCAAGCUGAGACUGACCAGAUUGUUAAGGUCCUGAAGGAAAAAAGGAAAUUAAAUUCCUACUUGGUAAAUCAUAGGUGAAAUGUUCUUUCCAUAGUUGAAUAACCUUUGUGUUGUCUGUUCAUGUAAUCAAUCAAACCAUUUGUUUUAGAGAUCAUGUAAUAAUUGUUUUUUGUUUGUAAUUUUAUUUGAGCACAAGUCUGUAUUAAUUGAUAAGACUCGGAGACAUUUCAUUUGGAUUGCUGUGCCAGACCUACAAAUAUGCCAAUCGGGCUGAAUGUGCAUUCAGCAAUACUAAUAUAGAUGGACCAUAAGUGGCACGCAUCGGAAAGGGCCAAGAUGCUGGCUAAAAAAAGGAUGCUGUUGUAGCCAAAAAAGUACAACGGCCUGGCUUAUGUAUGUUAGUUGAUAUUAUUGAUCCAUAUACUCUAUAAGUGUUUAUAUGUUUGUUAGUUCUGUACAUUCUUGGUUGAUUGACUCGGUAUUUGAAUCUUGAUACAUCGCUUGUGUACAUAUCUAAAUGGGAGUACACAUUAUGCUGCGUGUGACAUUGGAGUUGGACAUGAAGUGUUCCAAAUAUUCGAAUUCACCUUAAACUGGAUUCUAGUUUCUAAAUUUGAGUAUCGGCAUUUGUAAACCAUAUUCAUAUAUGACAGUGGAAUACAUCUUUGUCGUCCUUUUGAAGAUAUAUAAAAACACAUAGAAUGAUUUAUAAAGAUUCAUAUAGGAAUACAAAAUGGAUUCGAAUUUAGUUGCCAGGGUAAACGUGGAUGCUUAUUGUCCCAAAAUUCGAAAGAAACAGCAAAAUGUCCACUCCCACAUCGGCUGCCCGAAGCCAAGUGUUUGGGAGAUGGAAAUUACAGUCCACCCAUUACACGGACAAUCCAUCGGCCCGAUUUCCACUACUCUAAAUAGGGGUAGUUAGUAACUUCAAUUAGACGUGACACGACCGCCUCUGAGCCCAUUCCGACACGGUGGGCGUCAAACAUGGGCGGCAAAACUCAUUUGAUUCAAGCUCGUCCGAAAGACCUAUGUUUCUCCCUCCAUUCCCCAUUCAUACACGGUAGGCGGCAAAACAAACUCUCCUCAUCCGAAAUAGAUGUAGGCUAAUAUUUUAAAUAGGGGCAGAUGUGUAACUUCCAUCAGACGUGACACAACCGCCCUACCUAUCAGCCCCGUUCAUACACCGUGGGCGCCAACUGUGGGCGGCAAAACACCCUCUCCUCACCCGAAAUAGUUACCAGCAAAUAUUUGGGAGAUGCGAGAUUACCGUCCUAUCCCCAACCGACGAGACGUCCAAAUUUGAAACGGGGGAUAAGUUCGUAACUUUCCCAUAUUUCAGACAGGCGCGUCCCAAAAACAUGGUUCUCCCUCCAUUUUCCCAUUCAUACACCGUUCGCGCUAGAACACCCCAUUCCCACACCAGCCUCCGUCCGCCACCCCAUCCAUCGCCGAUGUCCUCCACCACAUCCAUCGCUACCGUCCUCCACCAUGCCGGAGCACCUACCAAGACCGCGUCAUCCACUGCUAGAGAUGGACGUUUCUCAUCCACGGUGACGGACCAAUAGCCUUGCAUCGCGUCCUCUCGCUUCAUCGGCGCCGUCGUCCUCUUUGCCGGGGCCGCUCACACGACCUUCUAUUCCACCGCAAUGGGACUUAUCCCCCGAUGCACCCGUCUACCAUCGCAGAUCUGCUUCAAUGCCACCGACAGCCAUCGCACCCCCGAUUCCUACACGGUGCCGCAAGAGAGGCGGUACUUCAUAUCUCCUCAACUUUUUGAUCUCAACCAGAAAAUAGAUCUUAACUUGGUUACUCUACUUUCUUUUUUAGCUCUUAGAAUUUAGUUCUUAGUUCGAAGCAAACAAUGGAUGCUAAAUAUCAUUUAUCUGGUUUGCAGCUUCAAAUCUACCAUGGCACAGCCAUAAUACGGUCUAAUUGAUCAUGCUUAGGGUUUAAUUGAUCAUGUUGGUUCCAUGGUGAUUUCUUUAAUAGAAAUCAGAGGGGAAACCCUCUUUUUCUAAAAAAUAUAUGCUUAGAGUUUCCCCCUUUUAUGAUCACUAUACGAUCAGAAUACGUGCUUCGUUUCAUAAUAACACUGCUCCACCCAUCAAGCUAAACAAGCUUAGUUAUUCAAAUACGAAUCUGAUAUUAUUAAAACAAAGUUUUUUAAUUGGUCAGCUAAAUGUUCCUAAAUUAGUUUCGAAAAUGCAUGUUCGCCACUCGGGUGUGUAUCUCUGUGUGUGGUCUGGUCAGCACGGUUGGGGAGGUGAACUUUGCAUAUGCAGGGGUUUAUAGGGAGACACUCUCCGAGUUGAAACCGCAAUGCAUUCCAUAGAUAAUCUGACUACUUUUUAUGUUUUCAUGAAUCUCAGAUUCUGAACAGCAUCAUAAUGAUUAUGAGCUUGCGCGCAUGAAAAGAAUAAAGCAGAACAAUGCCAUGGUUGUCAAACUUGGCAUUAAGGGACUGAAAUCAAGUCUGGAUGCAAUGCAAUGCAAACACUCUCCACCUACAGAUUCAUGCUCAGAAUAUGAUCCUAACAGUGAUUCUGAGCUAGAGGGAGACCUAAGUCAAUGUAGCUCCCUAGUGGAGGAGUUAGAGGAAGAUGCCCUAUCUUAUUCACCCAUCAAGGUACUUGCUCUAACUUUCCAAGGUUACAUUGCUCGCACAUAUCUUGCAACUGAUGCUUUGCAUUGCUUCUACUUUGUUGAACUGCCAUUAGCUUAGUUUACACAUCGUGUAUGUGAAUACGCCCUGCCUAUCCAUUUUUAGUACAUAUUCCAUCUGUCAUCAUACCAUAUUUAUCCAUUCAAAUGCUGUUCUUGUGUAUCAGACGUUCAAAAGGAAGAGGCCGAUUGCUGAUCAUGGAGGAGCACAAGCAAAGUAUAUGGAAAAGGUAGUGGCACCUGAUAAAUCAAAUAGCCCAUUAGGUGUAGUUGCAAUAUCACCUGGCCCACAAAAUACCCCAACUCUAGCAGACUCUAGCCCUACUACACUGGUCAUUUCUGAUGCCCCAACUCAGCAGACCCCAACUGCAGCAAACAGUAUGAUUAUGCCAGUUGACAUAGCACCAGCUGUACGACGCAAAACCCCCAUUCCAGCAAAGAGUACACCAAAUCCAGUUGCCAAAUCCCUUUUCGAACGAGAGAGAGCCCCCAUUGUAGCAAAUAGGACCCCUGUUCCAUUUCUUCCCAGUUUAGAAGAUGAAGCUUAUGUUGUGUCAGGAACUUUGUGCGCAUCUUUCCUUCAUGGAAAGAUUAUACCGCAGACACAGAACAAUUUCCAGUCUUCCUCUGCAACUUACGCGUAAGUAAUGUACUAAUGUUAUUCAUGGUCAUUACUGCAUAUGUUUCUGCUGACAGAAGACACAAGAUUUCUUUUAAAUAGGCGAGGCACAAACUAGAUUGUGAUGACGAGCAAGGGUUGGUUGCGCUUUUCAAGCACUCGUUGAUGAAGUAUCGUUCCUACCUGAGGCAAGCGCACUUCGAUGGCAAGCCUCUGAACGAAAUUUGUGUAAAGUCUCCGGUGCUACAUUUAUCCAACGGUAACUGGAAUAAUCUUGUUACACAUUGGUCUCGGCUGCAGCGUAAGGUACUGUCUAUGAUAUCACAUCACAAUUUGAACUACGUUUCUGCAUUUGCCUUAAUGCCUCACUUGUACGAAAACUGUUAGUAGAAGAACAUUCGUUCUCAACGGACCACAGAAUAUCGCAACUAUACUUUACACUGCAUUACUCUUGUGAGUACCUCUUGCCCUGUAUGACCAUACUUACUUUCAUAGCUGUUUGAUUAUGUAGCAUCACUGCACAUGUUAGCCUCGUAAUCAUCCAUUUGGUGGACAUUAUAAGAUCCGUAUGGACUCUUACAUAAAUUUAGAAUCAACCCAAUGCUUUUGAAGAGGUUUAGCUCUACAGUCCUCUUGUAAGGACUGAACGUGGUCUAUCACUGUACUUACAUUAACAACUACUCCCUCCGUCCCAUAAUAUAAGAACGUUUUGUACAGUACACUAGUGUUCAAAACACUCUUGUAUUAUGGGAAGAGGGAUUGGUUCAUUUUGUAGCAUUCUGCAUCUUAUCUCCCUCGCCCACCAUUUACUAAAAAAGAUCAGAUCUAUAUUUAAUCUUACCAACAAGUAGAAUACACAGACAAUGCCAGUGCAGAAGUGUAGCCCAUUGCUCUUGUCAGUACAUUUUGUGCUGUAACGCUUGUACUUCCAGGGACUGGUAGUUGAUUAUGUAGCAUCAAUCUGCAUCUUAUCUUCAUUAUCCUCUACCCCUUCCAGUAUUAUCAUAUCUAUAAUUACUCUCUACAAAAUGUAGAGUACAUGCAAUGCUUAUGAAGAAGAUUCUAUGCUGAAAUUCUUGAGUUAUCCUUCCCUUGACAUGGAGAAGGGCAUUAUAAAGCCGGUGUUAACUAUUAAUGUAAGUCAGUCCUUCUAAAGCCUUUAUCCUCAACUGCUGUUUAAUUUGCUCAUACUCCCUAUCAUUUACUGCUGUUUAGUUUGCUGUUUCUACCAAAAUGCAUGUUUGUAAGAACUGUAAGUUCUAAGUUUUACUUGUAAAACCAAAUUCCUUAUUCAUACCAUGCACAUUACUUAAUACUCCCUAUAUGUAUGCUUGUUUUUGUGGAUCUAUAAUCCAGUGUGUGGUGAAGCAGCCCACGUUUGCACCAUGUCAUCUCCUGUUUUAUCUUACUAAUGUGGCUAAUGAUAUGAACAACAUGCCAUGCACAUUAUCCAAAAUAGAUACAAUGAUUUUCUUUGCCCUUCAUCUAUGCUUGUUAUAUUGACAUGGUAAUCCAGUAGUGUGGUGAAGCUCCCCACAAACUGUCGUGGAAUUGUCAUGGCAGAUGUCCUCUUGCAAGGACUUAGUCAUGGAGCCAUCGCAACUAGGAAGCUUAAAGGGGUUAAUCGGGACAAAGGACACGAGAGGUUUAUACUAGUUCAGCCCCUUGCGGUGAAGGAAGGCCUACGUCUAGUUGGGUUGGUAUUGCUUGAUGUUUCGAUGACCAGGGAGCGAGAUAUGCUAUGCCCGGCUUUUGAUGGGUUGUUUCUUGCCCUAAGCCGCCGGUGGGUCGUCCCCUUAUAUACAUGGGUUGACGCCUUGUGACCUACUGAGUCCCGGCCGGCUCAUAAACAGUGUCCGGCUCGGUGACUAGUUAUUUCUACCUUAUAUUACAAGUCACGCCAUCAUGGCGGUUUGUCACUAUGGGCCUUAAGCCGCCCGUGGGCUUUAAACCCUAUGAACCGCCAUCCUUAUGUUGGGUCUUGGGCUUCUUUCAAGAUGAGUCUUCUUUGCGUAACCCGGCCCCUCCUGGGCGGUUUACACAAAUAGUUAUAUCCCCAACAUUAGGCCCCAGAUUGAUUUGAACCGGUUCAUGUCAAUCUAAAAAUACUUUAAGAAAUAAACCUUUAGUCUUCUGCCUGUGCAGAGGUUUUAACCCGCCAUGAUGUCAUCUUCUGGAUCUGCGUUAACCCGUCGCGACGUCAUCUUUAAUUAAAUUCAUAUUUUACUCCGUUAUAUCCUCCAACGAAUGUUUGUCUUCACUGACCCUUCCGAAAACCAAGGCGUCGGGGCCGCUGGAUAAUGAUGUUUGGCCUCCUCGUUUCUUGUGCCGUCUCAGUCGGCCUUCCCUUAUAAAUAGGCACGACCUAGGUCUUCCAUUUCCCCCUCUUUCAGUCAUCUUCUUCCUCUUGCUGCCUCGCUGCCUCUCGAGCUCCGUCGUCGCUGCCGUCGAACUCGUCGUCCUCACCGACUCAGGCCACUGCAUCGACCUGAAUCUGACCAGAGAUCAACGGCAAACUUCCGCAGCUCGUUCACAUCCGUGAGUUCCUCUCCUUUCCUUUCUUAGAUCUGCAUUGGAAAUUUCUUGAGCUCAUCGGUAUUCAUCGCCGUCCGACGCUAAUCAUCACUAGUUUCCUCCUCCAAUGCCCUGUUUUAGAUCGUAAAAACAAUGUAGAACUGCUGCGGCGAUUGUCCGCACUUAUUUUGUAUAAAAUAGAUCUCAUUUCCCUUGUUUGGAAGCCAUCUUCGAGUGCAUGAACUUCUCUGCACUGUUUUACGUCUAGAAAUUUUUCUUUCUAGAGCGACCAUUUGAUCCAAAAUAAUAAUUGCAACUUGUGAAACCUGUUUGUUCCACACUUAGACAAAAAUUGCCUCUGUGGAAUCUUGUUUUUGUUGGGUUUCGUAGUAAUUUCAAAAAAUUUCCUACGCACACGCAAGAUCAUGUGAUGCAUAGCAACGAGAGGGGAGAGUGUUGUCUACGUACCCAACGCAGACCGACUGCGGAAGCACUGACACAACAUAGAGGAAGUAGUCGUACGUCUUCACGAUCCAACCGAUCAAGCACCGAAACUAUGGCACCUCCGAGUUCGAGCACACGUUCAGCUCGAUGACGAUCCCCGGACUCCAAUCCAGCAAAGUGUCGGGGAAGAGUUCCGUCAGCACGACGGCGUGGUGACGAUCUUGAUGCACUACAGCAGCAGGGCUUCGCCUAAACUCCGCUACAGUAUUAUCGAGGACUAUGGUGGCAGGGGGCACCGCACACGGCUAAGGAAUAUAUCACGUGGAUCAACUUGUGUGUUUCUGGGGUGCCUCUGCCUCAGUAUAUAAAGUACUAGAGGGGGGGAGGCUGGCCGGCCAUAGGAGGCGCGCCAAGAGAGUCCUACUCCCUCUGGGAGUAGGAUCCCCCCCCAAUCCUAGUUGGAUUAGGAUUCGCGGAGGGGGAAAGAGAGAGAGGGGGCCGACCACCUAUCCUAGUCCUAAUAGGACUAGGGGAAGGGGGAGGCGCACAACCCAUGUAGGGCUGCCUAUUCUCUUUUCCACUAAGGCCCAUCAUGGCCCAUUUAGCUCCCGGGGGGUUCCGGUAACCUUCCCGGUACUCCGGUAAAAUCCCGAUUUCACCCGGAACACUUCCGAUAUUCAAACAUAGGCUUCCAAUAUAUCAAUAUUUAUGUCUCGACCAUUUCGAGACUCCUCGUCAUGCCCGUGAUCACAUCUGGGACUCCGAACAACCUUCGGUACAUCAAAAUGCAUAAACUCAUAAUAUAACUGUCAUCGUAACCUUAAGCGUGCGGACCCUACGGGUUCGAGAACAAUGUAGACAUGACCGAGACACGUCUCCGGUCAAUAACCAAUAGCGGGACCUGGAUGCCCAUAUUGGCUCCUACAUAUUCUACGAAGAUCUUUAUCGGUCAGACCGCAUAACAACAUAUGUUGUUCCCUUUGUCAUCGGUAUGUUACUUGCCUGAGAUUCGAUCGUCGGUAUUCCAAUACCUAGUUCAAUCUCGUUACCGGCAAGUCUCUUUACUCGUUCUGUAAUACAUCAUCCCGCAACUAACUCAUUUAGUUGCAAUGCAUACAAGGCUUAAGUGAUGUGCAUUACCGAGAGGGCCCAGAGAUACCUCUCCGACAAUCGGAGUGACAAAACCUAAUCUCGAAAUACGCCAACCCAACAUCUACCUUUGGAGACACCUGUAAUGCUCCUUUAUAAUCACCCAGUUAUGUUGUGACGUUUGGUAGCGCCCAAAGUGUUCCUUCGGCAAACGGGAGUUGCAUAAUCUCAUAGUUAUAGGAACAUGUAUAAGUCAUGAAGAAAGCAAUAGCAACAUACUAAACGAUCGGGUGCUAAGCUAAUGGAAUGGGUCAUGUCAAUCAGAUCAUUCAACUAAUGAUGUGACCUCGUUAAUCAAAUAACAACUCAUUGUUCAUGGUUAGGAAACAUAACCAUCUUUGAUUAACGAGCUAGUCAAGUAGAGGCAUACUAGUGACACUUUGUUUGUCUAUGUAUUCACACAUGUAUUAUGUUUCCGGUUAAUACAAUUCUAGCAUGAAUAAUAAACAUUUAUCAUGAUUAUAAGGAAAUAAAUAAUAACUUUAUUAUUUGCCUCUAGGGCAUAUUUCCUUCAGUCUCCCACUUGCACUAGAGUCAAUAAUCUAGAUUACACCGUAAUGAUUUUAACACCCAUGGAGCCUUGGUGCUGAUCAUGUUUUGCUCGUGGAAGAGGCUUAGUCAAUGGGUCUGCAACAUUCAGAUCCGUAUGUAUCUUGCAAAUCUCUAUGUCUCCCACCUGGACUAGAUCCCGGAUGGAAUUGAAGCGUCUCUUGAUGUGCUUGGUUCUCUUGUGAAAUCUGGAUUCCUUUGCCAAGGCAAUUGCACCAGUAUUGUCACAAAAGAUUUUCAUUGGACCCGAUGCACUAGGUAUGACACCUAGAUCGGAUAUGAACUCCUUCAUCGAGACUCCUUCAUUUGCUGCUUCCGAAGCAGCUAUGUACUCCGCUUCACAUGUAGAUCCCGCUACGACGCUUUGCUUAGAACUGCACCAACUGACAGCUCCACCGUUUAAUGUAAACACGUAUCCAGUUUGUGAUUUAGAAUCGUCCGGAUCAGUGUCAAAGCUUGCAUCAACGUAACCUUUUACGACGAGCUCUUUGUCACCUCCAUAUACGAGAAGCAUAUCCUUAGUCCUUUUCAGGUAUUUCAGGAUGUUCUUGACCGCUGUCCAGUGAUCCACUCCUGGAUUACUUUGGUACCUCCCUGCUAGAUUUAUAGCAAGGCACACAUCAGGUCUGGUACACAGCAUUGCAUACAUGAUAGAUCCUAUUGCUAAUGCAUAGGGAACAUCUUUCAUAUUCUCUCUAUCUUCUGCAGUGGUCGGGCAUUGAGUCUUACUCAAUUUCACACCUUGUAACACAAGCAAGAAUCCUUUCUUUGCUUGAUCCAUUUUGAACUUCUUCAAAAUUUUGUCAAGGUAUGUUGUUUGUGAAAGUCCAAUUAAGCGUCUUGAUCUAUCUCUAUAGAUCUUAAUGCCUAAUAUGUAAGCAGCUUCACCGAGGUCUUUCAUUGAAAAACUCUUAUUCAAGUAUCCUUUUAUGCUAUCUAGAAAUUCUAUAUUAUUUCCAAUUAACAAUAUGUCAUCCACAUAUAAUAUCAGAAAUGCUACAGAGCUCCCACUCACUUUCUUGUAAAUACAGGCUUCUCCAAAAGUCUGUAUAAAACCAAAUGCUUUGAUCACACUAUCAAAACGUUUAUUCCAACUCCGAGAUGCUUGCACCAGUCCAUAAAUGGAUCGCUGGAGCUUGCACACUUUGUUAGCUCCCUUUGGAUCGACAAAACCUUCUGGUUGCAUCAUAUACAACUCUUCUUCCAGAAAUCCAUUCAGGAAUGCAGUUUUGACAUCCAUAUGCCAAAUUUCAUAAUCAUAAAAUGCGGCAAUUGCUAACAUGAUUCGGACAGACUUAAGCAUCACUACGGGUGAGAAGGUCUCAUCGUAGUCAAUCCCUUGAACUUGCCGAAAACCUUUUGCGACAAGUCGAGCUUUGUAGACAGUAAUAUUACCGUCAGCGUCAGUCUUCUUCUUGAAGAUCCAUUUAUUCUCAAUUGCUUGCCGAUCAUCAGGCAAGUCAACCAAAGUCCACACUUUGUUCUCAUACAUGGAUCCCAUCUCAGAUUUCAUGGCUUCAAGCCACUUUGCGGAAUCUGGGCUCACCAUCGCUUCUUCAUAGUUCGUAGGUUCAUCAUGAUCUAAUAACAUGACUUCCAGAACAGGAUUACCAUACCACUCUGGUGCGGAUCUUACUCUGGUUGAUCUACGAGGUUCAGUAGUAUCUUGUUCUGAAGUUUCAUGAUCAUCAUCAUUAGCUUCCUCACUGACUGGUGUAGGUGUCGCAGAAACAGUUUUCUGUGAUGUACUACUUUCCAAUAAGGGAGCAGGUACAGUUACCUCGUCAAGUUCUACUUUCCUCCCACUCACUUCUUUCGAGAGAAACUCCUUCUCCAGAAAGUUCCCGAAUUUAGCAACAAAAGUCUUGCCUUCGGAUCUGUGAUAGAAGGUGUAUCCAAUAGUUUCCUUUGGAUAUCCUAUGAAGACACAUUUCUCUGAUUUGGGUUCGAGCUUAUCAGGUUGAAGCUUUUUCACAUAAGCAUCGCAGCUCCAAACUUUUAGAAACGACAACUUUGGUUUCUUGCCAAACCACAAUUCAUAAGGCGUCGUCUCAACGGAUUUUGAUGGUGCCCUAUUUAACGUGAAUGCGGCCGUCUCUAGAGCGUAUCCCCAAAAUGAUAGCGGUAAAUCAGUAAGAGACAUCAUAGAUCGUACCAUAUCCAGUAAAGUACGAUUACGACGUUCGGACACACCAUUACGCUCAGGUGUUCCGGGUGGCGUUAGUUGCAAAACUAUUCCACAAUUUUUCAAAUGUACACCAAACUCGUAACUCAAAUAUUCUCCUCCACGGUGAGAUCGUAGAAACUUUAUUUUCUUGUUACGAUGAUUUUCAACUUCACUGUGAAAUUCUUUGAACUUUUCAAAUGUUUCAGACUUAUGUUUCAUUAAGUAGAUAUACCCAUAUCUGCUUAAAUCAUCUGUGAAGGUGAGAAAAUAACGAUAUCCGCCACGAGCCUCAGUAUUCAUCGGACCACAUACAUCUGUAUGUAUGAUUUCCAACAAAUCUGUUGCUCUCUCCAUAGUACCAGAGAACGGCGUUUUGGUCAUCUUGCCUAUGAGGCAUGGUUCGCAAGUACCAAGUGAUUCAUAAUCAAGUGGUUCCGAAAGUCCAUCAGAAUGGAGUUUCUUCAUGCGCUUUACACCGAUAUGACCUAAACGGCAGUGCCACAAAUAAGUUGCACUAUCAUUAUCAACUCUGCAUCUUUUGGCUUCAACAUUAUGAAUAUGUGUGUUACUAUUAUCGAGAUCCAACAAGAAUAGACCACUCUUCAAGGGUGCAUGACCAUAAAAGAUAUUACUCAUAUAAAUAGAACAACCAUUAUUCUCUGAUUUAAAUGAAUAACCGUCUCGCAUCAAACAAGAUCCAGAUAUAAUGUUCGUGCUUAACGCUGGCACCAAAUAACAAUUAUUUAGGUCUAAUACUAAUCCCGAAGGUAGAUGUAGAGGUAGCGUGCCGACUGCGAUCACAUCGACUUUGGAACCGUUUCCAACGCGCAUCGUCACCUCGUCCUUAACCAAUCUUCGCUUGAUCCGUAGUCCCUGUUUCGAGUUGCAAAUAUUAGCAACAGAACCAGUAUCAAAUACCCGGGUGCUACUGCGAGCAUUAGUAAGGUACACAUCAAUAACAUGUAUAUCACAUAUACCUUUGUUCACCUUGCCAUCCUUCUUAUCCGCCAAAUACUUGGGGCAGUUCCGCUUCCAGUGACCAGUCUGCUUGCAAUAAAAGCACUCAGUUUCAGGCUUAGGUCCAGGUUUGGGUUUCUUCUCUUGAGUAGCAACUUGCUUGCCGCUCUUUUUGAAGUUCCCCUUCUUCUUCCCUUUGCCCUUUUUCUUGAAACUAGUGGUCUUGUUGACCAUCAACACUUGAUGCUCCUUCUUGAUUUCUACCUCCGCUGCUUUCAGCAUCGCGAAGAUCUCGGGAAUAGUCUUGUUCAUCCCUUGCAUAUUAUAGUUCAUCACGAAGCUCUUGUAGCUUGGUGGCAGUGAUUGAAGAAUUCUGUCAAUGAUGCUAUCAUCUGGAAGAUUAACUCCCAAUUGAAUCAAGUGAUUAUUAUACCCAGACAUUUUGAGUAUAUGCUCACUAACAGAACUGUUCUCCUCCAUCUUGCAGCUAUAGAACUUAUUGGAGACUUCAUAUCUCUCAAUCCGGGCAUUUGCUUGAAAUAUUAACUUCAACUCUUGGAACAUCUCAUAUGCUCCAUGACGUUCAAAACGUCGUUGAAGUCCCGAUUCUAAGCCGUAAAGCAUGGCACACUGAACUAUCGAGUAGUCAUCAGCUUUGCUCUGCCAGACGUUCAUAACAUCUGGCGUUGCUCCUGCAGCAGGCCUGGCACCCAGCGGUGCUUCCAGGACGUAAUUCUUCUGUGCAGCAAUGAGGAUAAUCCUCAAGUUACGGACCCAGUCCGUGUAAUUGCUACCAUCAUCUUUCAACUUUGCUUUCUCAAGGAACGCAUUAAAAUUCAAUGGAACAACAGCACGAGCCAUCUAUCUACAAUCAAACAUAAACAAGCAAGAUACUAAUCAGGUACUAAGUUUCAUGAUAAAUUUAAGUUUAGUUAAUCAAGUUAAAGAACUCCCACUUAGAUAGACAUCCCUCUAAUCCUCUAAGUGAUUACGUGAUCCAAAUCAACCAAACCAUAACCGAUCAUCACGUGAGAUGGAGUAGUUUUCAAUGGUGAACAUCGUUAUGUUGAUCAUAUCUACUAUAUGAUUCACACUCGACCUUUCGGUCUCCGUGUUCCGAGGCCAUAUCUGUAUAUGCUUGGCUCGUCAAGUAUAACCUGAGUAUUCCGCGUGUGCAACUGUUUUGCACCCGUUGUAUUUGAACGUAGAACCUAUCACACCCGAUCAUCACGUGGUGUCUCAGCACGAAGAACUUUCGCAACGGUGCAUACUCAGGGAGAACACUUCUUGAUAAUUUAGUGAGAGAUCAUCUUAUAAUGCUACCAUCAAUCAAAGCAAGAUAAGAUGCAUAAAAGGAUAAACAUCACAUGCAAUCAAUAUAAGUGAUAUGAUAUGGCCAUCAUCAUCUUGUGCUUGUGAUCUCCAUCUCCGAAGCACCGUCGUGAUCACCAUCGUCACCGGCGUGACACCUUGAUCUCCAUCGUAGCAUCAUUGUCGUCUCUCCAAGCUUAUGCUUCCACGACUAUCACUACCGCUUAGUAAUAAAGUAAAGCAUUACAUCGCGAUUUCAUUGCAUACAAUAAAAUGACAACCAUAAGGCUCCUGCCAGUUGCCGAUAACUCGGUUACAAAAAGUGAUCAUCUCAUACAAUAAAGUUCAGCAUCAUGUCUUGACCAUAUCACAUCACAACAUGCCCUGCAAAAACAAGUUAGACGUCCUCUACUUUGUUGUUGCAAGUUUUACGUGGCUGCUACGGGCUUAAGCAAGAACCAAUCUCACCUACGCAUCAAAACCACAACGAUAGUUUGUCAAAUAGACUCCGUUUUAACCUUCACAAGAACCGGGCGUAGCCAUACUUGGUUCAACUAAAGUUGGAGAGACAGUCGCCCGCAAGCCACCUAUGUGCAAAGCACGUCGGGGGAACCGGUCUCGCGUAAGCGUACGCGUAAUGUUGGUCCGGGUCGUCUCGUCCAACAAUGCCGCCAAACCAAAGUAUGACAUGCUGGUAGGCAGUAUGACUUAUAUCGCCCACAACUCACUUGUGUUCUACUCGUGCAUAUAACAUCAACAUAAAUAACCUAGGCUCGGAUGCCACUGUUGGGUUUCGUAGUAAUUUCAAAAAAAUUCCUACGCACACGCAAGAUCAUGUGAUGCAUAGCAACAAGAGGGGAGAGUGUUGUCUACGUACCCAACGCAGACCGACUGCGGAAGCGCUGACACAACGUAGAGGAAGUAGUCGUACGUCUUCACGAUCCAACCGAUCAAGCACCGAAACUACGGCACCUCCGAGUUCGAGCACACGUUCAGCUCGAUGACAAUCCCCGGACUCCGAUCCAACAAAGUGUCGGGGAAGAGUUCCGUCAGCAUGAUGGCGUGGUGACGAUCUUGAUGCACUACAGCAGCAAGGCUUUGCCUAAACUCCGCUACAGUAUUAUCGAGGACUAUGGUGGCAGGGGGCACCGCACACGGCUAAGGAAUAGAUCACGUGGAUCAACUUGUGUGUUUCUGGGGUGCCUCUGCCUCAGUAUAUAAAGGACUAGAGGGGGGAGGCUGGCCGGCCAUAGCAGGCGCGCCAGGAGAGUCCUACUCCCUCUGGGAGUAGGAUUCCCCCCCCCCCAAUCCUAGUUGGAUUAGGAUUCACGGAGGGGGAAAAGAGAGAGAGGGGGCCGGCCACCUCUCCUAGUCCUAAUAGGACUAGGGGAAGGGGGAGGCGCACAGCCCAUGUAGGGCUGCCUCUUCUCUUUUCCACUAAGGCCCAUCAUGGCCCAUUUAGCUCCCGGGGGGUUCCGGUAACCUUCCUGGUACUCCGGUAAAAUCCCGAUUUCACCCGGAACACUUCCGAUAUCCAAACAUAGGCUUCCAAUAUAUCAAUCUUUAUGUCUCGACCAUUUCGAGACUCCUCGUCAUGCCCGUGAUCACAUCUGGGAUUCCGAACAACCUUCAGUACAUCAAAAUGCAUAAACUCAUAAUAUAACUGUCAUCGUAACCUUAAGCAUGCGGACCCUACGGGUUCGAGAACAAUGUAGACAUGACCGAGAAACGUCUCCGGUCAAUAACCAAUAGCAGGACCUGGAUGCCCAUAUUGGCUCCUACAUAUUCUACGAAGAUCUUUAUCGGUCAGACCGCAUAACAACAUAUGUUGUUCCCUUUGUCAUCGGUAUGUUACUUGCCCGAGAUUCGAUCGUCGGUAUUCCAAUACCUAGUUCAAUCUCGUUACCGGCAAGUCUCUUUACUCGUUCUGUAAUACAUCAUCCCGCAACUAACUCAUUUAGUUGCAAUGCUUGCAAGGCUUAAGUGAUGUGCAUUACCGAGAGGGCCCAGAGAUACCUCUCCGACAAUCGGAGUGACAAAACCUAAUCUCGAAAUACGCCAACCCAACAUCUACCUUUGGAGACACCUGUAAUCCUCCUUUGUAAUCACCCAGUUACGUUGUGAUGUUUGGUAGCACCCAAAGUGUUCCUCCGGCAAACGGGAGUUGCAUAAUCUCAUAGUUAUAGGAACAUGUAUAAGUCAUGAAGAAAGCAAUAGCAACAUACUAAACGAUCGGGUGCUAAGCUAAUGGAAUGGGUCAUGUCAAUCAGAUCAUUCAACUAAUGAUGUGACCUCGUUAAUCAAAUAACAACUCAUUGUUCAUGGUUAGGAAACAUAACCAUCUUUGAUUAACGAGCUAGUCAAGUAGAGGCAUACUAGUGACACUUUGUUUGUCUAUGUAUUCACACAUGUAUUAUGUUUCCGGUUAAUACAAUUCUAGCAUGAAUAAUAAACAUUUAUCAUGAUUAUAAGGAAAUAAAUAAUAACUUUAUUAUUGCCUCUAGGGCAUAUUUCCUUCAGUUUUAGCCAUAGUUGUCGGUUUAAAAUACAGGCUGUCAACACUGCUUGCCUCUGGCGGCUUAAGAAAUUUUUAACUAUCUUUGAUACCUGCAGCGGCUUAAACAUCAUUGCAUAGUCACCUAUAUGUCAUUAGGUCCCUUCUUAAGCCGCCACCUUGAAUAAAUCAACAAUGCUCUCUUCCGGGUUACAAUUGAGCCGAAUUUUUUUAUCUUGUUGUAGGCUUCGAUUUACACAAUGGCACCCAAAACCCCCAAACCUCCGGUGACCUGUAAUUGGGUCCCAUCCAUUGUCACAGAAAGUAAAUUGUCCGAAUUUGUGAAGUCUGGCUACCUGCCCAAGAAGGAGGCCAUGUCUUAUCAUGCUCCUGACCCGUCCGAGGAGAAACCUCAUCCCAAAGAAGGGGAGGUAGUAGUUUUUACGGAUCAUAUGAGCCGGGGAUUCGCUCCACCUGGUUCAAAAUUCUUUAGAGAUGUUCUGAAAUUCUUUGACCCAAGGCCUCAAGAUAUCGGACCCAAUUCUGUGUCAAAUAUAUGCAACUUCCAAGUCUUCUGUGAGGUUUAUCUUGAGCCUAGCCUGCUUUUGUUCCGGGAACUGUUCUAUUUAAACCGUCAGAAUGAACGUGCCAAUGGGCCCAGUCUGGAACUCGGUGGCAUAUCAAUUCAUAGGCAAAGAGACUGCCUGUUUCCUUAUGCUGAACUGCCGAGUCAUCCCAAGGACUGGAACCAGACAUGGUUCUACUGUCAGGAUACUUCUCCGGCUGAUGAGAACCCGCUGCCCGGCUUCCGCGCCUUGCGCCUUGAAUCCAACCAUCCGCUGCCAGACAAGUUGACUGCCGUUGAACGUCUGCCACUUACCCCCACCAUCAAGAAGAUCAAAGCUCUUUUGGGGAACGGCUUAGACGGCAUCGACCUGGUCCGAGUCUGGGUUGCUUGGAGAGUGAUUCCGUUAAGCCGCCGUCCCGGCUUAAUGUGUACUUACUCUGGCGAGAAGGAUGAUCCUCAGCGCCAUAGUCCUGACGACUUACCAGAUGAUGUGGUGGAGGCUACCACCUAGUACUUGUUGAAAGAGGGCACAAUAACCAGUAAUGCCUUCGGCUUACUGCCCUUCUGCAAGAAUAACCCGGCCCCUGCAGUAAGUCAUCAGCCUUAAUGAUUACUCUUUAUUACACCGUACCUUAUUUUUACUCAUGACCCUUUAUGAUUUUUCCAUAGGAAAAUACCGACUUCUGGAAGGUCAAGUACGAUCAUGAGGCAGCAAAACAAGCCAGGGUGGCUAAGAGAGCCGAAAGAAAAGCCGCCAAGCCCACAACUUCGAAGAAGAGGAAACCCAGCGCCUCUAAAAUGUUUAAACUUGAUGAUUCUGAUGAUGAUGAAGAGGAGGUAACCCUCCCCCUUUUUUAAACUUUCCUACCUCUUUUAUGACCACUUCACUGACAUUACUUCUUUUUCAGGAAGACACAGGAAAUAGCCAACCCGUCGAAGAAGAGGUAACUUUAAUCUCCUCCGACUCCGAGCCUCUGCCGCGUCAGAAAAUUCGAAGAGUAACCCGGAAAGUAAGAUUUUCACAUCCUUUGGCUUACCAAGAUCCUGAAUUUCUUUUGAAGUGACAGCAAAUUGAAAGCCGGAGGCAGACCCGGACCAGUAACGACGCAGAACUGUCCUCCGGCUUACCUGACGUAACCAGGAAGCGUUAGAAUGAGGUUAUCUCCGACUUACAUUAUGUUUCCCCUUUGGCGGGUUUAAUCCGUCAACCUCUCAAUUCGUCUGGCUCCAUUUACCAGGAUGCCUCUCCUUCCUCCGGCGAGUCUAUGCAGUCAAACAUGCCGGCCUUUAAGACUGCCCCUGGGUAAUGUCAAUUUGUUUUCCUUAUGCUUUAUCUUACUUAUGUUUUGGCACUCACCUUUCUGCCUUGUCCAUAGUGUGCAAGUGAAGCCCAGGAAGAAAACAAAGAAGAAUAAGCCGGCCCAAGACCCUAUAGUGACUGAGCCAGAACUGGGCAUGGCCACCCCGACUCUUCCACACAUCAACCGCCACCUGAACCGGCUCAAGAUAUUCCGGCACCAACUUCUGACCCGCCUGCUGAAGAUAUUCUUGAUGAUUCUGUUAACCCAGAAGCACUUAGCCCGGCCAAGACGACUGACCCAGAAGUGGAAAUACUCAAGACUCAGAUUGUUGAUCCGGCCCGGCCCACUGUUCUUGCCAAGUGUUCUGCUAAGGAAGAGUUGCUAGAGCGCCGUAAAGCCAAGAUGGACAUCACUAACUAUACUCAUUUGAGUAUUGGAGAUAUCGUCUCGGGCUAUAUCAACCAGGUGCAUAGCAGCCGUGACCUGGAAGUUGACAUGGUGAAGCAAAUACAGCAAAAAUCUGAGGUAUGACUUAUGCUUCCUUACUGUUAAUCAUACUUACUGUACCAGCCCCCAAGUCUAUUGCUUAUGAGUAAAUAUGCUGUAGACUUAAGAAACUGUCUAGCACUGCUUAUCCGGUUUAAAGAGAAAAUACUUAAGCCGGUUGUAGCCUGAUACCUUGAACUUGCGAUACGCAUUAGCCUCCAAGUGCCAAGUAUCUUUGCUUGCAAAGUGCUUGGGACUUUAGUUUGUAUAAGCCGGCGUAGUAAUUUAGAAUUCUUCAGCAUACAUUAGCCCCCAAGUGUCAAGUACCUUUGCUUGCAAAGUGCUUGGGACUUAACUUUAUUUGUAUCAUGAUCCUGAUUAUGACCUGGUACCAAUGUAGACCACCAUAAGUCAAUUUGAGUCAGAGAUUGCUGACCUGAAGAACCACUUGGCAGCCCAGGAACUUGAAAUUCAAAAAGCCAACUCCAAGUUUGAAUUUAGCGUCACUAAACAAGAGAAGUUGAAGAAAAACUUUGAAUCGGAGAAGAAAACCUGGGCUGAUGAGAGGGCCUCUCUGGUGACUCGGGCCGAGACAGCCGAAGCAUCCCUUGCAAAAGCAAACACCGAGCUGUCGGGCUUAAAGCGUCAGAUAUCUCUAAUGGUCUCAGCAAUCUUCGGUAAGUUACCUUAUAUGAACCUCAAAUAUUGCAAUUCUUCCUUUGAUGACUAGGUUAACUAUUGCCUCCGGCUUACCCUUUGUUUAAUAACACAGGCCGCAGGAGCACAAAUCUCAAGCAGGAUAUGGUGGUCAAACUGAAGGCAGUCUAUACUCUGGUGGAGCAAUUGUACACCGGGUCACAACGUGCUUUGGCCGUUGUGGUUUUAUCAAAUGAUGUCCCUCAUCUCCUGCAAGAUGUUCUAAAACGGCUUGCGGUGCUGCCUCAGCGGGUUCAAGAGCUAAGACGGGCAUCUGCCAGAGCCGGAGCUAUAGCUGCCUUGAGCCAGGCCAAGGCAUGGAUUCCAGAGUUAGACCCGGCCGACCUCAGUCUUGGAUAUCUGAGUCUGAAAGAGGAUGGCACCUUGUUCGUUGAGGCGGACUUCACCGCCUGUGUGAAAGACAUUCGCCCUAUGGCUACCCUCAUUGGGAACGACACUGAUCUUACUAAGUAUCAGCCGGGUUAUGACAAUGAGAACCGGAGCAUACCUUUGCCCCUGAAGUCGACCCAACCGGUUUAAUAGAUGAAGAAGCUGAGUUUGAAGCCUUGAGUGGCAUUGACUGGGCUUCCUCAACCUUCCAGGACAGAGCAGCAGACGAAGAGGCGGAGAAGGAUAACCCGGAAUCAUCAAGCCAAUUAAAGGAGCAAGGACGUCGGGUGUCAUAUGCUUGUGUCUUUGUGAAAACAAUACUUCACUAUUAAGACUCGGGGAGUCUUGUAAUAGGGUAGAAAACUAUCGAUUUUUCCAUGCCUUCGCGCAUGUUUAUGGCGCUCAAUACUUUCUUAAGCCGCCAUUGUUGUAUAUUUCUAGCCUUUUAUUGAUCUUCUCGUUCCUUUAUGUUUAAACAAAAGUUACUUUCCUUAUCCUGCAUAAGAGACAAACAAAGAAUCCUCUGGCCACUUACCACCAUGGGGGUCAUAUAAAGGUAUUGAUAACCCGGAGUAUAUACCAAGCAAUAUUUAGGAAAAUCAACUUACGAUUAAGCUUAAUAGACAUAAUCAUAAUGAUAUACUUGUGAUGCUUGUAGUUACCUCUCCGGCUCAUAUGACCCAACCCCUGAGGGUAUUCUUAACCCAUGAAAAUUGAUAUAUAGAAGUUUACCUAGUUCGUAACAACCCGAGGUAACCAAUAUUAAUCCGGAGGAAUGAAAUUCAAGAGAGCCUCAAGAUAGCUAAAUAUUAACACUUAUAAAACAUGACGAGUAAUAAAUAAGAUUUAAAGGCCUCUGAUUCGAAUACGAUCAGCGAACCGUUCCAAAGGGGUUAAGCUAAGAUUCGGAUACGAUCAUAUAGCCCCCAAUGGCUGUGGCGAUGCCGAUUAAGUGGGUAUCGAUCGCUAUGUUCUCUUUGGUUCGAAUACGACCUAUGUUUGAACACGAAGCCCCCAAGUAACCAUAAGAGUUGUUUAAUGACGCUGAUUCGAAUAUGAUCCACGUCAGACCCAAAGGGGUUAAGCUAUGAUUCAAAUAUGAUCAAGAAGCCCCCAAGUGGGUUUGGCAGUAUGCCGAUCAAGCGGGUAUCGACAGCUAUGUUCUCUUUGGUUCGAAUACGACCUAUGUUUGAACAGGAAGCCCCCAAGUGAUCAUGGCUAGACUCAGAUAUGAUCAUAAGACGGACCAAAGGGAAAGCCGGAUUCAGAUGUGACACGCUCCCUGUUGGUUAUCUCCACCACAUGACAAAGAAGACACAUAAACUUUUUGGGGCGGGAAAAAGGACAGAGGUCCUGCUUUAUUGCUUUAUGUAAUAUGUACAUAGUCGAAACAUAUAUAUAUUAGAGCCGGUGGCUCAAGUAUAGUAAGGCCGAAGAUGAGCAAUAUUCCACGGCCGGUGGGUCUCCUCCUCCGACUUACGUGAGUCUUUGUGCUCUUGAACAUCGAUAAGGUAGUAUGACCCGUUGUUCAGAUUCUUGCUGACCACAAAGGGUCCUUCCCAAGGAGGGGAUAGCUUAUGCAUGUCAGAUUGAUCCUGGAUGAGCCGGAGCACUAAGUCGCCUUCCUGAAAGGUUCUGGAUCUAACCCGGCAGCUGUGGUAACAGCGCAGGUCUUGUUGGUAAAUCACCGAGCGGGCUAUUGCUAAGUCUCGCUCUUCGUCCAAUAGGUCAAGUGCAUCUUGGCGAGCUCUUUCAUUGUGAGUCUCAAUGUAAGCCACCACCCGAGAUGAGUCAUGACGGAUGUCACUUGGUAGGACCGCCUCUGCUCCAUACACCAUGAAGAAAGGUGUGUAACCCGUAGAUCUGUUAGGUGUAGUAUUGAUGCUCCAAAGUACAGAAGGUAACUCCUCCACCCAACAACCCAGAGUUCGCUGUAAGGGGACCAAGAGCCGGGGUUUGAUGCCUUUCAAGAUCUCCUGAUUUGCUCUUUCUGCUUGACCAUUGGAUUGAGGAUGAGCAACAGCCGAAAUAUCAAGCCAGAUAUGUUCCCUUUGACAGAACUCUUCCAUGGCACCCUUGGAGAGAUUAGUGCCAUUAUCAGUUAUGAUGCUGUGUGGAAAACCAAAACGGAAGAUCACCUUUUUCAUGAACUGAACCACUGUUGCUGCAUCACACUUACUGACCGGCUCUGCCUCGACCCACUUUGUGAACUUAUCCACUGCCACCAGUAGAUGUGUCUUUUUGUCUUUGGACCUUUUGAAAGGUCCAACCAUGUCAAGCCCCCAGACUACGAACGACCAAGUAAUUGAAAUCAUUCUCAAUUCCUGAGCCGGCACAUGAGCUCGUCGUGAGAAUUUCUGACAUCCAUCACAUUUACUAACAGAUCUUCUGCAUCAGCAUGAGCCGUCAGCCAAUAAAACCCAUGACGGAAAGCCUUGGCCACAAGGGAUUUUGAGCCGGCAUGAUGACCGCAAUCCCCUUCAUGGAUCUCACGAAGUAUCUCCUGACCCUCUGCAGGUGACACGCAACGUUGAAAUGCUCCAGUGACGCUACAGUGAUGUAACUCGCCAUUAACAAUUGUCAUGGACUUGGACCACCGGAUGAUUUGUCUUGCCAAGGUCUCAUCCUCAGGCAACUCUCCCCGGGUCAUAUAAGCCAAAUAAGGCACUGUCCAAUCCGGGAUGAUGUGGAGAGCCGCCACCAGCUGCGCCUCCGGGUCUGGCACUGCUAGAUCUUCUUAUGUAGGUAACUUGACAGAAGGGUUAUGCAAAACAUCAAGAAAGGUAUUAGGCGGCACCGGCUUACGUUGAGAUCCCAGCCGGCUUAAGGCAUCAGCCGCCUCAUUCUUCCUUCGAUCAAUGUGUUCCACCUGAUACCCCUUGAAGUGCCCAGCUACAGCAUCAACUUCACGAUGAUAAGCCGCCAUAAGGGGAUCCUUGGAAUCCCACUUGCCUGACACUUGUUGAGCCACAAGGUCUGAGUCGCCCAAGCACCUUACCCGGCUUAAAUUCAUCUCUUUGGCCAUCCGGAGACCAUGGAGUAAGGCCUCAUACUCAGCUGCAUUGUUAGUACAAGGAAACAUAAGCCGGAGCACAUAACAGAAUUUGUCACCAUGAGGGGAAGUUAAGACUACUCCAGCCCCCGAGCCUUCUAACUGCCUGGACCCAUCAAAGUGAAUAGUCCAAUAUGUGUUAUCCGGCUUCUCCUCAGGUGCCUGCAACUCUGUCCAAUCAUUGAUAAAAUCCACAAAGACCUGAGACUUAAUAGAAGUACGUGGCAUGUACUUGAGACCGUGAGGUCCAAGCUCAAUGGCCCACUUGGCGACUCGUCCCGUGGCCUCUCUGUUCUGGAUUAUGUCUUCCAAGGGGGCAGAACUUACCAUAGUGAUAGGGUGACCUUGGAAGUAUUGCUUCAGCUUCCGACUUGCCAUGGACACUCCGUAAACAAGCUUCUGCCAAUGUGGAUAUCUUUGUUUAGACUCAAUGAGCACCUCACUGAUGUAAUAAACCGGCCGUUGAACCGGAUGCUCCUUGCCAGCCUCCUUACGCUCCACCACGAUCGCAACACUAACAGCCCGUGAGUUGGCGGCCACAUAUAACAGCAAUGGCUAUCUGUCAAUGGGAGCUGCUAGGACCGGCGGUUCAGAUAACUGUCUCUUUAAAUCCUCAAAGGCAGUAUUAGCAGCAUCGCUCCAGACAAAGGUGUCUGUUUUAUUCAUCAUUUGAUACAGCGGUAGGGCCUUCUCACCUAAUCGGCUUAUGAAUCGGCUUAAAGCAGCGACACGACCCGCCAACCGCUGAGCAUCAUUGAUGCACGCCGGCUUAACCAGAGAGGAUAUUUGCCUUGAUCUUUUCUGGAUUAGCUUCAAUGCCCCUGUUUGAGACCAGAAAACCCAAAAGCUUGCCUGCAGGUACACCAAAUACACACUUGGCCGGGUUAAGCAUCAUCUUAUAAACCCAGAGAUUAUCAAAGGUUUCUUUCAAAUCAGAUAUUAAGGUUUCCUUCUCUCUAGACUUCACCACUAUGUCGUCCACAUAAGCGUGAACAUUGCGCCCAAUCUGACUAUCGAGACAGUUCUGUACACACCGCUGAUAAGUCGCCUGGGCACUCUUGACCCAAAAGGCAUAGAUACAUAGUAGAAGGCUCCAAACGGAGUAAUGAAGGCCGUCUUCUCCUGGUCCUUAACUGCCAUUUUGAUCUAAUGAUAACUAGAGUAAGCAUCCAAAAAACUCAAACGCUCACAACCCGCCGUAGCAUCAAUGAUUUGAUCAAUACGGGGAGAGCAAAAGGAUCAGUCGGACAAGCCUUAUUUAAGUCCGUGUAAUCCACACACAUUCGCCAGGUGCCGUUCUUCUUGAGUACGAGCACCGGGGUAGCCAACCACUCAGGGUGAAAAACUUCGAUAAUAAACCCAGCCGCCAAGAGUCGGGCGACCUCCUCUCCAAUAGCCUUUCGUCGUUCCUCAUUGAAUCGCCGAAGAAACUGCCUGACCGGCUUAUACUUAGGAUCAAUAUUAAGAGUGUGCUCAGCGAGUCCUCUCGGUACACUCGGCAUGUCCGAAGGUUUCCAUGCAAAGAUGUCCGGGUUCUCAUGGAUGAACUCGAUGAGCGUGCUUUCCUAUUUAGGAUCCAAGUUGGCACUGAUGAUGAACUGUUUAGAUGAGUCGCCUGGAGUGAAUUCCACAAGUUUAGUUUCACCUGCCGAUUAAAUUUUAACGCCGGGUCAUGCUUCGUAGUUGGUUUCUUCAGAGAGGUCAUAUCUACCGGGUCAACAUUAUCUUAAUAAAACUUUAGCUCUUCCGCUGCACAAACAGACUUAUCAUAAGCCGCGUCGCCCUCUUCACACUCCAAGGCCACCUUUCGACUCCCGUGCACAGUGAUGGUGCCCUUAUGACCCGGCAUCUUAAGCUGCAGAUAAACAUAACACGGUCGCGCCAUGAAUUUAGCAUAAGCCGGCCGCCCGAAUAGAGCAUGAUAUGGACUUUUGAUUUUGACCACCUCAAAUGUCAAUUUCUCAGCCUGGGAAUCAUAUUCAUCUCCAAAGGCUACCUCCAAUUCAAUCUUACCGACUGGGUAUGCCGACUUACCAAGCACCACUCCAUGGAAAACGGUGUUGGGCGUCUUCAAAUUUUUGUCAGUCAAACCCAUGCGUCGAAAGGUUUCAUAAUAGAGGAUAUUGAUGCUGCUACCGCCAUCCAUGAGUACUUUGGUGAAUUUAUAUCCACUGACCUGAGACGCCACCACCAAGGCUAAUUGACCUGGAUUAUCAACCCGGGGAGGGUGAUCUUCCCUGCUCCAUACAAUAGGCUGCUCUGACCACCUCAGGUAACGAGGAACUGCUGGCUCGACAGAGUUCACAGCCCUUUUAUGAAGUUUCUGGUCACGUUUGCACAAGCUAGUGGUGAACACAUGAUACUGCCCACUAUUCAGUUGUUUUGGAUGGCUCUGAUAACCCGACUGUUGCUGCUGCUGUCCUCCCUGAGCAGAGUGCUGUUGAUUAUAGCCGCCUUGAUUUCCCUGAAAGCCGGAAUUUGUGCCGCCGCCCGGGCCAUGAAAGCCGCCAGCGCCUGAGCCGCCGCCCGACCCAUCCAUCAAACGUGUUGGAAUUCUUGAAAGCCUUCAUGAUGGCACAAUCUUUCCACAAGUGGGUGGCGGGUCGUUCCCGGGUGCCGUGUCUCGGACAGGGCUCAUUGAGUAGCUGCUCAAGAGAUGGACCUGACCCACCAGAUCGAGGGGGUGGUUUUCACUUACGUCUCUGAUUGUUACCCUGCGCGUUGGCGUUAGCCACAAACUCCGGGUUACCCUCUGCCUUAUGCUUAUUGCCUCCUUGAUUCGUCGGGUUAUGCUGCUGACCCUUUCCAUUGCCGUUCUUCUUUCCCUUCGCUGUCUUUUCCUCAUCAGACGCGGGAUCCUUGGUACUAUCAGAGUCGAUGUAUUUAACUAAAGCUGCCAUCAGCGUACCCAUAUCAUUGCAAUCACGCUUAAGGCGCCCCAGUUUCUGUCUCAGCGGCUCAAAACGGCAAUUCUUCUCUAACAUGAGGACUACAGAGCCGGCAUCCAUCUUGUCAGACGAAUGUAUAAUCUCCUUGACCCGGUGCACCCAAUGAGUUAUGGAUUCACCCUCCUCUUGCUUACAAUUUGUUAAGUCCACGAUUGACAUAGAUUUCUUACAAAUAUCCUUGAAGUUUUGGAUGAACCGGGCCUUUAACUCGGCCCAUGAACUAAUUGAAUUGGGCGGCAAGCCCUUUAACCAAGACCGGGUUGUUCCAUCCAACAUCAUGGUGAAGUACUUAGCCAUCGCUGCAUCGCUAACCUCCAACAGUUCCAUGGCCAUCUCAUAACUUUCGAUCCAUGCCCCAGGCUGUAAGUCGGCCGUGUAAUUCAGCACCUUUCGAGGCCCUUUGAAAUCCUUGGGAAAACGCACAUUACGUAGAGCCAGCACUAAACAAGGGAUGCCGCCGGUUCUGGUGGCUACUCCUGCCUCAACAGAAGUCAUCGGGUAAUCCGGAAGGGCCUCCUGAGCCGUCAGUUGAGCCGCUAGUUGAGCUGCCCGCUCGUCCUCCUGACGUAUUCGGUCCUGCACCGGGUUAUAACCGCCAGGCUGGUUACGGCGCUGGGCGUUGCUUGAUAAGGCCUCUGACUCCAUGUGCCUGCUGUAACUCGGGCUCUGGUUUGGACGAGUCGUAACUAACCAGGGCGGUGGGGUUGAAUGAAUCCUGUCUCGGCUAUAAGAAUAGGUUUCUUGCUGAGCCAGGGCUAUCUGCACAAGAUCUCUGAUCCUCCGGGUCUCUACUGCUGUCGGAUCAUCACCGUCCACUGGAAGAGCCGCCAAGCAUGCUGACGCUGCAAUUAAGUUCUCCAUGGGGUUGGAGAAUUGACCCGGUGGUAUCGGCACAUAACGAGGUGGUGCCAUAUUCCCCUGAAGAGGUGCCGUCACCUGAGGUUGAACUGCCCCCCGGCAGUCAUGAAUUGAUUGACCUCCGGCGGGUUACUUUGACCAGCUCCAGGCGUCAUGAAGAGGUUCCGCGGAUCGUAAAACAGAGGCAAACGGGAUUGAGUUUUUUGAUGCCUUCUCCUCAUCACCUCGUUAGACGCGUUCAGGCUCAUGGUAAGCUAGAAAGCCUCUAACUGGAGCUAUUGUGCCCGAGCAUCCAAAGCCGCCCAUUCUGUGGCUAACCUGACAUCCUCAGCUGCUAAAGCCUCCUUGGCCCGAGCUAUCUCCUCACGAACCUGUGCCACCUCUGCAUUAUGCUCAUCUUGAUUCGCAGGGAUGACUGUGGUGGUUAACAGGGCCGUAAGUUUAUCCAUGAGAUCCAUCAGCACCUGAGCCGGCGGGCGCGCGGGGCCUCCUGCCCCGGCUGCUCGUGACCCAGAUGUUAUGGCUGCUGCGGCUGUGGAAUUUUGGCCGUUUGACGGUUCAUAGGGGUCCGAAAUAAUAGAGCCAUCGGAACAGGCCCCAAGCCCGCCAUCUCGCACUGGAUACAGAGAAUCUGUUGAACCGGUGGACGAAUCACCGUCAUAGAGGACGACCGUCUCACCAUCACCUUCAGAUCCUUCAGAAAAUUCUCCUCCGUGGAUGCAGCCCACGAAGGCACGCUUCACGACAGGUUGAGCCCGGGCGGGUCUCGCGCGCUGAGCCGUCUCGAUGAGGUCGGUGCAGUUGUCCGGCUCAGGGCCUAGCUCACCAAUCCGGCCAAUGAAGACGUGAAUUCCACCGAAGUGGACCCGGUACCCAUACUCAAUUGAGCCGGCGUCGGGGCCCCAGCCUUCGUCGUCGACGUAGAUCUUGCCGCGACGACUCUUGGUCAUCCGGCCGACUGCGUAUCCCUUGAGCCCUUCGAAGCUACCCUUCAAGAACUCAAAUCCACCGUGCACUGGCCCCAUGGUGGGCGCCAACUGUCGUGGAAUUGUCACGGCAUAUGUCCUCUUGCAAGGACUUAGUCGUGGAGCCAUCGCAACUAGGAAGCUUAAAGGGGUUAAUCAGGACAGAGGCCACGACAGGUUUAUACUAGUUUAGCCCCUUGCGGUGAAGGAAGGCCUACGUCUAGUUGGGUUGGUAUUCCUUGAUGUUUCGAUGACCAGGGAGCGAGAUACGCUAUGCCCGGCUUUUGAUGGGUUGUUUCUUGCCCUAACCCACCGGCGGGUCGUCCCCUUAUAUACACGGGUCGACGCCCUACGACCUACAGAGUCCCGGCCGACUCAUAAACAGUGUCCGGCUCGGUGACUAGUUAUUUCUACCUUAUAUUACAAGUCACGCCAUCAUGGCGGUUUGUCACUAUGGGCCUUAAGCCGCCCGUGGGCUUUAAACCCUAUGAACCGCCAUCCUUAUGUUGGGUCUUGGGCUUCUUUCACGAUGAGUCUUCUUUGCGUAACCCGGCCCCUCCUGGGCGGUUUACACAUAUAGUUAUAUCCCCAACACUAUUGAUAUUUUGAACAUACUCUUUAUUUUCUAAUUUGAAAUUGGAUAGAAUUGACAGAACAUUUAUCAUCUUUGUUUAUACACGUGGAAAACCUAUCAUCUCUCUG